GGGUAUUGUCAGUCAUCUUUGGUUUCUGAUUUCUUGUGAGAGAUUUGGAAGAAUUCAAAUAAAUCGAAAGCUCAAAUGCUUGAAAAAUGAAAACUCUUGGUAGUAAAGGAAUGCCAUAGCAGCCAUGAUUUAUACUGGUUUAAACCAGUCCGUCGCUGGACAUGUACUAUUCCACGUGUCAAGCUACGAUUGCUCGGAAUAAUAUCUGUUUUGAGGUUGAGAUUAUGGGGGCCUUUCACCAGGGGGGUUGUGAAUAAUUAAUGUGCUAAUUUUCUUUGUUUGUUAAAAAAAUAAUAAAAAGUUCUUUCGGUUAUUUCUUAACAGAUUCAAUUAAGAAAGGAUCAUGAUUGAGGGAUCCAAAAUCUUGAGCCCAAGACACCAAAGUUACAUACAUACAAUAUUGUCCAAAUCUUAUGACAUGAUUGAGAAAAAACAUAUUAUAUACAUACAAUAUUGUCCAAAUCUUAUGACAUGAUUGAGAAAAAGCAUGAUUAGUAAUUUAAAUAUUACAUCUUGUAAUCAUGAUAAAAAAAAAAUUAUAUAUAUAGAUUCUAGCAUGCAUGUUCAAAUUGAAUAUAUAUUAAACUUAUAAUUGAUAUCUAAAUAAAAUUCUAGUAUGUAUAGUAAUCAUAUAAUAUAUCUUUAUAAAAACCAAACUUAAGCUCUAAAGUAUAGAAAAAAAAAGUCAAAAAACGAGUCUUUUUAUGAUCUUUGUUUGUUUGCCAAAAUGUUUUUUUUUUUUUUUAACACAUUCAUAGGUUGUUAACCACUUUUAUGUGGUAUAAUUAAACUAAUAAUUUUUAUAAAUUUUUUUAUUUGUAACAUAAACAUAUAAAAAUUAUAAAAUAAACAAAAAAAUAUUAAUAUUUUUUCAAGUCUUUUAAAAAUGGAUAAAAAACCGUUGUUCCAAACUCGACACCAAACACACACAGACACUUGCUCUAAAAUGUAAAUCCCAAUUAGGUUACAAAGAAAGCUUGGUUUGAUCAUCUUAGGUGUGAAAUCUAUUGAAGAUCAAUCCAGAAUUUUCUCACCGCCUACCAUCUUCGGAUCAUGUAGAAAUAUCUAUCCAUAACUCCAGCAGAAAAUAUCUUAGCUACAUGUGGCUGGUGUUGUGUUUAGUAUUACGUUUUAGAAGUAUUUAAAAAAAUAAUAAAAUAUUUUUUAUUUUAAAUUAAUAUUUUUCAGAUUAUUUUUUAUAUACUGAUAUUAAAAUAAUUUUUUAAAAAUAAAAUAAAAAUUAUUUUAAUAUAUUUUAAAAUAAAAAACAUUUUAAAAAAACUACCAUACACCCAAAGACACGUGACAUAUGAUGUAUGCUGGAAAUUUCUCCUACCGACAUAGCAUAGCCACGUGUGGGUGUGUGUGUGGUUCCUUCAUUUUGUGUGGUGGGCAACGAGUGAGAAGAUAGAUGAAUAAGUGAAAGAGUGUCAGAAAAAAGAGAGAUAAUAAUGAAGAGAGUAUUCAGUGUGUGUCGCGUGAGCUUUUGGAAACGCGUUAUCUCGCUUUUUCAAAAAACUUUUAAAUUCUUUUUAUUAAAAUUUAAUUUUUUAUAUAUUUUUUUAAAUAAUUUUAAUAUAUAAAUUUCAAAAAUAAUUUUUAAAAAAUAAAAAAAUAUAUUAUUUUAAUAUAAAAAAUCCUUUAAAAAAUAAUUAUAACUAAAAUGACAAUCACCCAGUUAAAAGACGUAUAAAUUAGUUAGCUUCAAAGUCGUUGCUCAAAAUUCAUGUUCAACAAAGUCUUUUUAUUUUUAUAACAAAAAUUUUCAAAACAUUUAUCGAAAAAGCAAUGUAAAAAAUAAAAAACAUUAAUGGUUAUGGAUAAAGAAAAAAACCAAUGAAUAAUUAAUAUAAAACUUCAUUUUUUUUAAGAUUUGUUUUAUCACUUUCUUUCAAUAUUUUUUUAAUUAUAUAUAAAAUACCGAGAUUUUGAGAUUUUGUUUGAAUGUUAGAAUUAAGAUUUGCUUUUAAGGCCUGGAAAAUAUUGAUUGCAAUUUAUAAAAUAUUCUGAUAUUAGGUUAAUAAAUGAUUUUACAAUUGUUUUUUAUUGUAUUAUUAAAUAAAAUAUAAUUUUAAAAAAUAUAAAUUCUAGUUAAAAGAGUUUUUAAAUUUAAUUUACUGGAUCGGAUUUAAUAAUAAUCUAAAAAAACAUAAGUUUAAUUUUGAAAAUUUUAUUUCAAAGUAUUUUUUUUUCUUUAUUAUAAUUCCUACACUACCCUAAAAGCUCAUUUAAAAACUUAGGCUGCCUUUUCUUUCAUAGAAACAAUUUGCAGUAUAUUUGACAUCUAAUAUACUUUUCACUUAUAACUUAGGCUGCCUUUUCUUUCAUAGAAACAAUUUGCAGUAUAUUUGACAUCUAAUAUACUUUUUCACUUAUAAGAUAGUUUUUAGCUUUUAAUGUAAAAUGAGAUAUAUUAAUUAGGUGUUUGUAUUUUUCCUCUUUUUGUUUACUUCAGCUAAUUUUGUUUCUUCAUAAUAAUAGCAAUGGAUUAAGAUUAAUUAAGAGUGAUGAUCUAAGUGGAGCAAUGUUAUGGAAUUCUAAGCUGCUCUUGAACUCACACUUCAGGGACUUUAGACUUAGUCAGAUUCAUAAACACCAAAUAUUCAAGGAGUGAAUUAAUAGCAAAGUAUAGAUAUAUAGGGCCAUCUGGACAUGCAGGAUGCCAUGAAGAUGAAGGAAUGUUGUGCUCUCAUAAACCGAGACAAAAGAUCUUUAAACAAGUACGUACGAAACUGAAGUAAAAUUUCACUAAUUAGGGCAAAAUCUGCCUGCAAACAUCGAUCACGAGAGAGCUACAGAGAGAGCUCUCUUCUUUAUACGAAAGGAAAUGGCAGAAACAAAACAAGAGAUGAACAUAGCAUUUAAUUUCUAAAUUGCUAUAGACAAUUAUUGGACUGCUCCAUUCAGCUACUUCAUUUGUUCAUGCCAGUUGCAUUCUUCACUCCUUCAACAGCUGCCUGUGCCGUAGACAUCACCUGUUGACCAGCCUAAACCAAGAACAGGUAUCAUAAGUAUAUUAUACAUUUGUCCAUUGUAUUCUUGAGCACAAGCUACUGUAGUGGUGAGGAUGAAUUCUCUCAAAAAUAAAACACAGAAAAUGAGAUUGAAGGAAAGUAUUUGAAUACCCCUUGCACUGAUUCCUUUGCAUAUUGAGCAGCAUUACCAGCUUUGUCCAUCAUGGUAGGACUGGUCUUCUCCUGAAACAAACAAAAUCCAUGCCUUAUCACGUAUUGGAAGAGAAAUAUCAUUGUGUUCUUGAGCACAAGCAAGUGUAGAGGUGAGGAUGAAUUCUCUUAAAAAAAACAUAUAUAGACAUGAGAUUGAAGGAGAGUAUUGAAUACCCCUGUCACUGAUUGCUUUGCAGAUUGAGCAGCAUUACCAGCUUUGUCCACCAAGUUACUGGCCUUCUCCUGAAACAAACAAAAUCCAUGCCUUCAUGUAUUAGAAGAGCAAAAUCAAGCAGAUUCAUAAAUAAAAAGGAAGAAAUAAACAAAUUCACAGGCUGACCUGAGUUUGGCCCUUGGCCUCACCAGCUUGGAAGCUCAUCUUCUGGGUAUUGUCAGUCAUCUUUGGUUUCUGAUUUCUUAUAAAAGAUUUGGAAGAACUCAAAUAAAUCGAAAGCUCAAAUGCUUGAAAAAUGAGAACUCUUGGUAGUAGAGGAAUGCCAUAGCAGCCAUGAUUUAUACUGGUUUAAACCAGUCCAUCGCUGGACACGUACUAUGCCUCGUGUCAAGCUACAGAUUGCUUGGAAUAAUAUCUGUUUUGAGGUUGAGAUUAUGGGGGCCUUUGACCAGGGGGGUUGUGAAUAAUUAAUGUGCUAAUUUUCUUUGUUUGUUAAAAAAAUAAUAAAAAAUUCUUUCUGUUAUUUUUUAACAGAUUCAAUUGAGAAAGAAUCAUGAUUGAGGGAUCCAAAAUCUUGAGCCCAAGACACCAACACUUUAUACAUACAAUGGUGUCCAAAUCUUAGGACAUGAUUGAGAAAAAACAUGUUUAGUUUAUAAUUUAAAUAUUACAUCUUGUAAUCAUGAUAAAAAAAAAAAUUAUAUAUAUAUAUAUAUAGAUUAUAGCAUGCAUGCCCAAAUUGAAUAUAUAUUAAACUUAUAAUUUAUAUCUAAAUAAAAUUCUAGUACUUAUAUUAAUCAUAUAAUCUAUCUUUAUAAAAACCUAACCUAAGCUGUAAAGUAUAAAAAAAAUUUCGAAAAAGAGUCUUUUUUAACACAUUCAUAGAUUGUUAACAACUUUUAUGUGGUAUAAUUAAAGUAAUAAUUGUUUAAAGUUUUUUUUAUUUAUAACAUCAACACAUAAAAAUAAAAAAAUAUUAAUUUAAUAUUUUUUCAAGUUAAAUAUAUUUUUAAAAUAAAUAAAAAACUGUUGUUCCAAACUCGACACCAAACACACACAGACACUUGCUUUAACUAAGAACUGAUAUUGUUUGUCAAUGUAUUAUUUAAAAUGUAAAUCCCAUUUAGGUUACAAAGAAAGUUUGGUUUGAUCAUCUUAGGUGUGAAAUCUAUUGAAAGAUCAAUCCAGAAUUUUCUCACGGCCUACCAUCUUUGGAUCAUGUAGAAAUAUCUAGCCAUAACUCCCCCAGAAAAUAUCUUACCUCCAGGUGGCUGGGGUGUCUAGCAUUGCAUUUUAGAAAUAUUUUUAAGAAAAUUUAAAGUUAUUUUAUUUUAAAUUAAUUUUUUUAUUAUUUUUACAUUACUUUUAUAUAUUGAUAUCAAAAUAAUUUUAAUAUAUUUUAAAAUAAAAAACAUUUUAAAAAAACAGCCAUACACCAAAAGACACGUGACAUAUGAUGUUAGCCGGAAAUUUCUCCUACCGACAUAGCAUAGCCAUGUGUGGGUGUGGGUGUGUGUGUGGUUCCUUCAUUUUGUGUGGUGGGCAACGAGUGAGAAGAAAGAUGAAUAAGUGAAAGAGUGUGUCAGUAAAAAGAGAGAUAAUUAUGAAGAGAGUGUUCAGUGUGUGUCGCGUGACCGUAUGGAAACGCGUUACAUCCCGUUUUCAAAAAAUUUAAAAUUUUUUAUUAAAAUUUAAUAUUUUUUAUAUGUAAUUUCAAAAAUAAUUUUAAAAAAAUAAAAAUAUAUUAUUUUAAUAUAUUUUAAAAUAAAAAAUAUUUUAAAAACUAACUAUAAUCAUACUCAUAAACUUCAAAGUCGUUGCUAUUCAAAGUCGUUGCUCAAAAUUCAUGUUCAACAAAGUCUUUUUAUUUUUCUAGCUAAAAUUUUCAAAAACAUUUAUCGAAAAAACAAUGUAAAAAAAAAAAAACAUUAAUGGGUAUGGAUAGACAAGUGAGAAAAAAUAUGCCUUAUAUGAAGAAAAAAAAUUAAAACUUCAUUUUUUUAAGAUUUGUUUAUCACUUUCUUUCAAUAUUUUUUUAAUUAUAUACAAAAUACCGAGGUUUUAUUUGAAUGUUUGAGUUAAGAUUUCUUUUAAGGCCAUAAUAGAUUUUAGUUUGGAAAACAUUGAUUGCAAUUUAUAAAAUAUUUUGAUAUUAGAUUGAUUUUACAAUUGUUUUUUAUUGUAUUAUUAAAUAAAAUAUAAUUUUAGAAAAUGUAAAUUCUGGUUAAGAGUUUUUAAAUUUAAUUUACUGGAUUGGAUUUAAUAAUAAUAUAAAAAAAACAUAAGUUUAAUUUUGGAAAUUUUCUUUCAAAGUAUUUUUUUUUCUUUAUUAUAAUUCCUACACUACCCUAAACGUUCAUUUAAAAAUUUAUGCUGCCUUUUCUUUCAUAGAAACAAUUUGCAGUAUAUUUGACAUCCAAUACACUUUCCACUUAUACGAUAGUUUUUAGCUUUUAAUGUAAAAUGAGAUAUUUUUUAAGAAAAAAAAUUAAAAAUUUUAUAUUAUAUGGUGGAUUUAUUCUCAUUUUAUAGUUUGUUAAUUAAUCCACUCUAUAAUCUACUUUUAUUACUUAUAUAUAGAAACAAAAGGAGCUAAAAGUGGAAAAUAUUCCUUUUCAUAAUUAUCAUAUCCUAAUCUCCCCUUUUUUAAUCAUUACUUAUCACCAAAUUUAAUUUCUUCAACAUUUUAUUGCUCGUUCUAAAUUGUUUUGUUGUUUUUUUUAUUUUGUACUUAUAUUAUUCACCAAUAAAACAUUUAUUUCAAAAAAUAUAUAUAAUAAAGAAGUUUACAUUUUUAAAACCUUGAUUUUUAUAUAUUUUUUUAAUUUUAAUUAACUUUGAACAAGAAAAAGUAGAAACUAAUAUUUAAUUAAAAUUUCGUAUUGUUAGAAUAAGAUACUCUAUGAAAAUAUUAAAUAUAAGGGAUAAUGUGGUCUAUUAAUGGCACAAAAGUGUCAUCUACUGGUCUUAAAUGGAGUUGAGUGACUUGAAUUUGAGUUAGAAUAACAAAUGAAGGAUGUUUGGAGGUUGUUUGCUAUUAGUCUAUGGUCAAUUUUGAAUUCUAUUUUUUUAUUACAAGAAAAAAUGAGCAUAUCCUACCUGUUUUUCAAGUUCAGAAUAUAAUAUUUAAAGAUUAUCUAGCCAUGGAUAAAUUAAAGUUUUCUAUAAAAAAUUACGUCAGUUUUAAUUAUAGUGCUUUUUAGAUAUUUAUUUGCAUUUUAUAGAGUAAAAAACAAGUUAUUGGUAUUCAUAGUCUAGAAUUCAGCUAAAUUCAAUUAUUAUGUCUCAUUUAUGUUAUUUUGCUUUUUUCUAAAUUAUUGGAAUAAUUUAUUUAUUGUUAUUGAAAUAAGAGUUCUUUUAGUUGAUACUAGUUACAUGCCCCGCGCGAUGCCGCGGGUCAAUUAUUUUUUGAAUUUCAAAAAUAGUUAAGAUCUAAAAGUGUUAGGUUUUUUUGUAAAGUUAUACCCAAGAGUCUCAGUUUUGGUUGCAUCGUCUAAUCAAAGAGUAAUGUUUAUAAUAUUAAUAAUAACAUUAAACUUGGGUUAACCCUUAGCAUAAAAGUGUCUGGACUACAAUACCAGAUCCAAUAGCAUUGAACGCGGGUCUGGCUGCAAGGUCGUGUCAUAAAAGUGUGAUAAUUAAAUAGAUUAGUUAAAAAAAACCAACAGAAAAAAAAAACUAAUUAGAAAAAAGAAAAAAAAUAUGAAUUAAUUGGGUUAACCCUUCAAACCAGGUUAACCCGUCAUACCUUGAAUUUACAUAAUAAAAGUUUGAUAAUUAAAAGAAAAAAACAAAUUAAUGGGUUAACCCAGAAUUAACUAGGCUAAAUCGUCAAACCAGAUUAACCUGUCAAACCCAGAAUCCGUGUAAUGAAAGUUUGAUAACUAAAUAGAAAAAAAUUAACAUUAACAAUUUAAAUUAAAUGAAAAAAAUUCAUUUAAAAAAAAAAAACAAAAAGCAUCAGCCUUUUCACAGUGAACUGCACUGUGCAGUCCACAUUCAAAGGCAUAAAAACAAAAAAAAACAAAAAAAAAAAACAAAAACUAAAGGCAUCAGCCGAAAACUACUUAGAAAAAAAUUUAAUAUUAAUAAACUAAAUUAAUUAAAUAAAAUUAAUUAAAACGAAAAAAUAAAAGAAAAAAACCUCUAAGAAGAAAAACAAAACUAAAUAUAAAGAAAUUUAACAUUAACAAACUAAAUUAAACAAAAAAAAUUAUUAAAAAAAAAAAAGCAAAAAAAAUUCCAGGUUAACUUGUCAAACCAAGUUAACCCGUUAAACUCGGGAUCCGUGUCAUGAAUGUCUGGUAACUAAAUAAAAAAAAAGUGAACAUUAACAAACUAAACUAAAUAAAUAAAAAAAAAUAAUUAAAAAGAAAAAAAAAAUCUGGGUUAACUCGUCAAACCAUGCUAACCCGUUAAACCCCGGAUCUGUGUCAUGAAAGUCUGAUAACUAAAUAAAAAAAAUUUAACAUUAACAAACUAAAUUAAACAAAAAACAUUUAUGAAAAUAAUAAUAAUAAAAAAUGACGGGUCAACCCGGAAUUAACUGAGUUCACCCGUGAAAGUCUAAUAACUAAAAAGAAAGAAAUUUAACAUUAACAAACUAAACUAAACGAAAAAAUUAAUUAAAAAGAAUAAAAAGCAAAAAAAUAAUUCUAUUUUAACUUGUCAAACCAAGCUAACCCGUUAAAUCCGGUAAACGUGUCAUGAAAAUCUGACAACUAAAUAAAAAAAUUAAACAUUAAUAAACUAAAUUAAACAAAACAAUUUUGUUAAAAAGAAAAAAACAAGGGAAGAAGCAAAAAAAAUCCCAAAAACACAUAUAAAAAAAAACUAGAAAAACUAAGACAACUUAAUUAAUUAAACAAACCAAGUUAUCCCGUCAAACCUGAGAUUCGCGUUAUGAAAGUUUGAUAACUGCAUAGAAAAAAAAAAUUGAUGGGCUCACCCAUAAUUAAUUAAACAAAAAAAUUAAUUAAAAAGAAAAACCAUAAAAAAAAAAAUCUGGGUUAACCCGUUAAACCCAGAAUGCGUGUUAUAAAAGUUUGAGAUAUAAAAAAAUUCAACAUUAACAAAAAAAAUUUUAAAAAAAUAUCCAUUAAAAAAAACAAAGAAAAAAUAAAGAAAAAAAAACGAAAAAAAAAAUGUCAGCUCAGCUUUUACUGUAGACUGUACUGUGCAGUCCACAGUAAAAGCGUGAGUCCUUUUCGUUAUAGUUUAAUUAAUUAAUAUAUGAGUUUUAUCACAUCUUGAUGUCGGCUGAGAUCGACCUUGCAAGGUGAUUGUGGUUGUCUAGGGAUUUGUGCCCAUGAAUUCCUCCAUUUACGUUCUUCUUCCUUGCAUUUCUUCCCCCAAAUUAUUUCUUCUUCUUCCUUGAUUACUCGCAAUUGUGUCCAAUGAUCUUCAUAAGUAGAAAAUGCAAUAUUUUUAGAUAUGAUAUCUAGGUUAACAUAUUUAUGCCAUGAUCCUUGUCAUCUUAACUGUCUCCUUCGCUGCUGAGACCUUCUACUUGUCUUGAGACUCUCAAUCUUUUUUUUUUCUUUUUUUUUUAUAGGAAUAAAACAGGACUAUGAUCAUGAGAUUCCAGUUUGAUUGGGGGCUGAUUUAAUGGUGAAAACCAACGCUAAAGAUGGCUUGGGAAAGACUAGAAAUCAGCAUGUUUUUUCUUUAAACAACGUUUGUUUUUCCAUCUACCUCAUAGUAAUUGGUUUUUACGACAGUCAACAAUGUAAAGUCUUUGACGGAUCUCAGAUUUAAUAAUUUUAUCAAUAUAAAUUUUUGUCUAUACUUACACUAGUUCAUUUGUGAUUUUUUAAUGGAAAUUAUUUUACCAACAGAAACAUGGAUAAAAAUUAUUAAUCAAAAAAUGUUUGUUGGUGAUUUCUGGUCUUUUGAUAAGUUCAUCGUUAAAAAAAAUUACCAACUUCAUUUUGUUGGUAAUUUCCUCGAUACUAUUUAGUAUAUUACUGAUAGGAGAACCGUAUGUUAUUUCGCCAGUGAGUUAAUAGUUACAGUAAUAUUUUCCAGCUCUAUGGAAUAUACUAACGGACUAAUUCCAUCAGUAAAUUAAUAGUAGCAUUGAUAUUUGUUGUAAUUCCUUUUCAACUCUCUAGAAUUACCAACGGAAUAAGUCUGUUGGUAACCGUCAGUAAUAAUUUUAAAAUAAUUUUAAAAAAAAUCUAUUAAAUAGAAAUAGAAAAUAAUUAAAAUAAUUAAAUUAUUAGAAAAUUCAAAUAUUUAAAAAUAAAUUAUUUUAAUAUUGAAAUCAAAUAUUUAUUACAAAUUUAAAUAUUUUUACGUUCAGACACAAUAAAAGUAUAAUAGAGGCAACAUUGAAGAAGGACGAGGAGGCUGGUCAUCCUCGAGAUCGUAGGGUCAAUAAAGGAUGCACAUGUAUCACUCAUCCGUGAUCUCAUAUCCAUUACCACUAGGUGAAGUUUUUCAUAAUCUGCAAAGAGUUAUUCAUUUUUUUAAUUGAGAAAGGUCAUACGUUCUUAUACUCCUUGAUCUAAUAAGGCCAUGAACUCUGAAAAUUGAGUACUCGGAAUCGAUUACGAGGAUCCAACAUACAAGUCAUCAGCAAGUUCUCAAUCGUAAUGUUAAAAAAUCCAUACACCUGAUUUCUAUUAGUCCACUAAACGAUCUUAUCUCUAACCACAAAUCCGAAUUGAUGUCUAGGUGGGUCAUAGGAUCAUUUUAGUAUCUCUUCUUCAACCGGUUGUUAUAUGACUCUUAGAAAUAUAAUAUAAAUUCAUCAAAUUUAAGUAAAUAAUAACUUAAGAAAAAAAAAUGGUUGAACACCAAUAUACCACAAAGUAUUGAGCUUAGCUAUCCAUAAAUUGAUGCACCCAUUUUUUACUGUCAUCACUUCGCACGUGCAUUUCCACAAAAAAACUUCAUUGGGCUUAGCUCAUAUCCAAGAAUCAUUAUCUGUAAGAUAUAAAUAUUGUCAGUUAAAUAUAUUUAUAAAAAACAACAAACUUAAAAAAUAGAUGUAAUUAAAAAAAAUAUUAUCAUCCAUUUUGCAUGCAAAACGAAUGGAAUAGAGUCGCCAGUGUGCAUGGUAAUGAAACCAUGAAUUUUAUGGCUUUGGUUCCCUAUAUUGGACUGUGACCAUUGCAUGAAAAGCGCAUACGUCAUGUGUUGAAUGUAUUAUGCCCAUAUAGUCUACAAGAUGUAUGACGAUUUGAAAUUCUUUCAAACCACCAUGUCAUUCCAGCCUAGUAGAUUGCUUUCUUUCGUAUAUUUUUUGAAUUUUUUUUAACCUUGUAAAAAAAAUCACACAACCUAUAUAGUAUAAACAAAUUAUCUAUAAGUAAAUGAAAAAUAAAAUUUUAAUACUUGGAAUAAAAAAAUUAUCAUGAUUUUGAUGUUACCUAGUUACAGUGUGAUUCUCUCAAUCCUUCAUCACAACAUUAUCAUUAGCUCUAUUCCACUCAAAUUUCCCUUUGCAGUAAAAAAUUAUAAAAAUAAAAUUUUUAGUAAUUUUAAUAAAGUAAACAAAUUAACAUAAUAAAAAAUUAAGUUAAUAAUAACCUUAAACCUUAAAAAUCAUGUGUCCAUGUAUAAUUUUUAUUAAGGAUGUUUGGAAACCUAGCUCCAUUGAAACAAAAAAUUUUCAUCGACGAUUUAAAUAUCGAUGUUAUCGUUCAGGCAACCUCAAAUGUUUGUAAAUUUCAAAUUGGAUAAAUUUAAUAAAAUAUUUUUUUCAAAAAUUAUUAAACAUGUCAUUAUAAAAGCAAAACAAACUUAUAUUAAAAGGUUGCUGCGGGUGAAUGGAUCCCGCUGUGAAGGGACCCCCCUCUACAUUAUGGUAUUGCACUCGAUGAGGUAGCAUUGUGAGUUGAUGUUUGUGCCUUAGAUGACUCUUCUUGGUUAGCACCUAAUAAGUCAUGAUUGUCAUUAUCGUUGCUAGAAGAAUUAACAGUGAUCUUGUCUUCACGAUGUGCAAUUAAUUUUUUCCUAGGCAUCUACAUAAAUUUACAGGAAAAAAAAUAUACAAUUUUGAUUUAAAAGAAAAACAUUCAACAACACCUCUCCUAUACGGGAAGCCAAACAAUUUAAUCUUGCAAAUAGACAAUAAAUGCCUUCAAUUUCUACCAAUAAUUUUGAAUAAUUCAAUUUCAUAGAAAAUUCUCAUUUUCUAAGUUAUAUUAUUGUUAAUCCUAAAUUUAAAAGAAUUUAUUUUAAAUGGAAUACAUACAAUAUAAUAAAAUUAAUUAAUCCUACACAUUUAAUUAAAUAUUAACAACAAAAUUAAACAAAGAAAAUAACUAAAAUUCAACAAAAUAAUGAAAACAUUAUUGGUUUAACUCAAGGUUAUUCAAUCUAUUUUAAUACUUCUCUUAAUUCAUUAUCAAUUAUCUACAUAAAUUUAAAUUUAUACACAUUUACUGGAAAUUACAAACUUGGUAAUAAAAUUGAUAAAAUAUAAAAUGGACCCAUUAAAUAAGCCAUUAUGUUUUUUUACCACAAAACAUCUAGGUUGAUAAUUCGAUAUAAGUUUCGUCAAUUUACAAAUAAAUAAAAUUUUAUAAAAUUUAAAAACAAAUCCUAACAUGUACAAAUUAUAAAUCCAUACAGCAAAUUUGUUUAAGAAAAAACUAUAAAACUAGUAAACACUCAAACAAAAUACAUAUACUACAAAAAAUAUGAAAAAAAAAUUAUCAUUUGAAAAUUGUGUUCAAAUAAUAAUAAUAAAAAGAUAGAUUUGCUUACUUAAAGUGGAGAAUCCUCAAUAACAUUUGAAUCAGAACACGAAUGCUGACAAAUCUAGUAUUACGGUAGCUGAAUUUGUUGUGGGAGGUUGGAUUGUGUUGAGAUUGGGGGGGGGGGAGGGUGGUUAUUUGUUGCAAAAUAAAAUGCACAAGGAAGAAGUAAAAAUGGGGGAGGGGGAGAGAAGGUCCAGCGCUAGGUCAAAAAUUAAAUAUUAUUGACAAAUUGAUCGAUAUAAUUAUUCUGAUGGUAAACUCCAUCGAUAAUUUUUAUCAAAGAAAUGUCACACCACCAUACGAUUUGUCUUCUUGAAUCUCACUAUAAUAUCCUUCGUAAUGUCGUUUGAUAUAUACCGAUGAAAAUUUUUCAUUGGCAUAUUCAGGGAUGGAUUUUACCAUCGGGUUAAUUAUGUCGGUAAUGUCAUUUGUAAAACUUAUAUAUCAUCGUGUUGUUUGGCUUUUUUUAUUCCUUUUUUAUCUACUACAAUUUCCUUAGUAUAUACCGUGAAAAUAUUUCUAUCAAUGUUUAUCGACGGAUUUAGCAAUGAAAAAUUCAUUUGGUAAAUGUUACCGUAGUAUACCAAUGGAAAAAUUUCACCGAUGUUUCUAUUUAUAUUUGUCAAUUUUUUUUAUAGAUGGAAACUAUGUGCAACGAACAAUGAGGGAUCACAAUGGAGGAAACUAAUUUUUUAGUAAGAUCAAAUAAGCGUGGCGUGAUGGCAAAGGUCUUGAGAUCUGCACAGCAGGUCUCGAGUUCGAGUCAGGACAUGUAUUUUUUAUAAGAGUCUUGGACAGUCAGGGUUUUACUUGCUCACCUGGGCCCACAAAGUACUUUUUUGGAAGGUGAGGUUUCCUCGGAUCCAAAAAAAAAAGGAGAAGAACAAGGUGCCGAUGAUCGAUGGAAGGCGAAAUGAAAAAGGGAGACUCAUUGUUGGGUUCUACUUUUUUGGAACAACAAUUAAUGGAAAUAGCCACCUGGAACACUGAGUGUCCGAGGAAGAGGAAAGUGGGAAGGAAGACUGCCCGGUCAUAAAACUAUCAACGGAGGAAAAAAAAUGUAUAAGGGCACCUUGGCGUCAAACAUUCAUCGUGAAAGUUAUGGGUAGACGAGUAGGCUACAUUUAUCUUUUGCGACGUAUUCGACGAAUAACCUAAAUGGCUGCAUCUGAUAUGCUUCCGGCGUGGUCAAUAUGGGCACGAAAGAGAGAACUGCUCUUCUGGUGAAAAGCAUGAGGAGACCAGUAACGAUAGACAACGAUAUAUUUGUGAGUCUUUAACAAAACUAAGGUAUUUGUUUAAAGUAAAUAUAUAGAUUUCUUAUUGAACUUAUCAAUGAUGGGGUAAUGAUUCUCUCAAAGUCGAAGAUCAUAAUAUCAUUUUGAUAUUGUAUGAUCUUUAGUUUUAUUGAGAACACAGCAACUCUUUUGAACAAUCUCACUCGACAACAAAGAAAUGUCUAAACUUAUACCUCUCACAUUUGCAAUGAGAAGGGACAUAUCUGAAAGCUAAAACAUUAACAAGGAUCAAAUAAAAUAGUCCUAAGAAAGUAAAGGGGGUAUGAAAAGCUUUCGAAAACUUUGAGGUGCCAUUGUCUCUCCUAUAUACUCGAUACGAUGACACCACGCACAAAAUUGAUGUAGAAUCUCGAUCCCUUGAAAAGAAAGGAGAAUUGCAUGGAUGUUUGAAUGAGGUUUUAGCCUGUAUUCUUGUUUAUUUUGAAAAUGAUACUUUGUAAACAGCACUUCGUUAUGAAUCACAAUAGAUACAAUUGGCAAGAAAAGCUAAGGCAUUGGACAAAGUUUACAGCCUACCUCUAACAAAAAUUGCAGUUCUCUAGCAAUAGUAUGAAUAACACCAAAAGAUGCAAAACAGCUCCACAUCCUCCCCAAAAUUCUGCAGUGAACAAUAACACCAAAAUUCAUAAAUGAGGAAACAAAGGGAUUUUGUGACCAAGAUAGGAGGUUUCAGAAGUGACCAUGGAAACGUUGGAUAUCUUUUUUAAUCAUAAUACGUGUGUGCGCUAGAGGGGGAGUGCAUGGAAGGUGGGCUCGUGCCCUGUAUCAAGAGGAGGGCUUCUUAUUUGAGACAAUACAAAGGAAAACCAUGGAAUGCUCAAUCAGCUCUGAGAAAUGCCAUUCAAAAUCAGCAUUUUAUAAAUUGGUUACGAACUAAAAGUUAAAUAGCAUCUAAUAAAAUACCUGCAAGUGAAAGACACAAUGAAACGACAGGGAAAUAAUUUGUAUGGUGAAAGUUUAUUAGGAGGCACAAUGGUUACAUAAAAGAAACAGGAACUCUAGCUUUCGAUAUUUUAUAUAAUGGCACAGGUGUUGUUGAUGUAUAGUUUAUGUGUAGAUGCAUUUAAAGAAACACUCAUUAACCAUGCUCAGUUGAGGGACAAAAUGCAAAUACAAACUGGUGUCAGUUUGAUAAUAUAAACUUCCACAAAGCAUUGGGUAAACUAACAAUUUUGUGCAUGCAAUUGCUUAUUCAUGUGUUGUAACUGAUGUUUAUCUGAUUUUAAGAGACUAACAUGCCUUUAGAGUUUGCCAUGGCAAAAGAAUUUCGCUAUAAAUUAACUAAAUUUAGCUGUAGUUUACUUCAGUACAUUUCUUGCACUAAUAAUUGUUGAAGAUGUGCUAUAAAGUGUUUAUAGCUCGAAGAAAAAUUAGAGGGGCCACAUGUGCUUAAAUCCAUUGUCUAAAAUCAUUUCAAAUGAUAAAGAUUACAUAUGCCUGUUUAUGUGCAACUUGCUGUACCAUUAUGUACUUUGUUUUCACAGUAUAAAAAGGGUUGGAUAUGAUAUGCCCAAACAUUUGCAUUUAAUUAUUCAACAUCAUAAUGGUAUUAUUCUUCGCUAAGAGCAUGUGAAGAUCAGCCAUAACACACAUAUACUAUAAGUGGUGGUAAUCUAAGAAACAAAAGCAAGGUAUUUAAGAGCUGUUUCGGAUUAAUACAUGCAACUUCCAGUUCAAGACCAAAAAAGGUUCACUUGAAUUAGUCUGUAGCCUUGUGAACUUCAUCCACAAAGAGAACUGUGCUAAGAAAAGACUGUACUGCGUCCUUUACUUCUUUACAUCAAAAGAAGCAAAUUAAUCUUAAUAUCAAAUCAUACAUGGAUAAAUCCAAGAUUAAUUAAUAUAUAAUCAACUCAAUAUGAAAAGAUGAAUAUCUACAAAGCAUUGAGUAAUUUACAAGUCAGUGCAUCCAAGUGCUAAUUAAUUGCUUUUACCAAAGUACAUUUCUCGCACUAAAAUAUUCAAGGAUGCAUAUGUACAUAAAACUAGUGGUUCUACAAGUGCUUAAUCCACUGUCUAAAAUUAUUUUCAAUGUUAAAGAUACCCUUUGUUUGUCUGGUGAGACUUUUUGCCUCGAGUUUUACUUCCCAAAUAAGAAAGAGACUAGCAAAAUUAUGUUCCCAUUUUCAUUUAACUAUUGAGAUCACAUUUAACAAGUCAGUCUAAGUCUCACCUGUAUCUAACCCCCACUUGCUUAGUUCCAUCCAUAAAGAGAACUGAGUUAAGAAAAGCUCAUGGUAUGCUCUGAGAGAAAACAGCUGUCUAGCAAAACCAUGAAUGGGCUAGUGUAUUUCUUCUACAGAGUCAAACCACUUCUGCAAAUCUACAUGAAGCUUCAAACAUAUCAUAAGGUUACAGAAUAACUCUGAUAAUGGCCUGCAAGAAUGCUUGAUGGAAUCAUUUUACUUGUUAGCCUAAUCAACAUACGCUGUUAUGGCCUGAAAUGACAAAGGAGUCAGUGCAAGGCAUUUGAAGUUCAAAUUGGUAACUGCAGUCAAUUCCAAGAUUCCAAUAAGAGCCCAAAUAUUUCGUCUACUGCAUAUCUUUUAAUAUGUUCUUUGACAUUAGGCGCCUCUCAAGCACAUGAUUCCAGAAGAGACUUAAGAUGCUGCUGUCACUGGCAUAAGAAGCAUUAAAAGAUCUAUAAAUUUUGAUAGUGAUCAUCAGCCUUUUCUUGUACAUUUCAUCUAAUAUAUCUGAAGUAACAUUGACUUUUCCAACUUUCCAGUAACCAUACGCCAAACUUGUGUAGACGACACUAUCUCCAAAUAUACCCUUAUCUUUCAUAAGACCAAGUACUCUUUGAGCACAAUCAAUCUUUUCUAUUUUACAAAACCUCCUUAUUAGCGCCCUGUACACUGAUACAUCAACACACAAACCUCUUCUCACCAACUCAUCUGGAAGUUUGAUGACUGCCUCUUCAUUUUGUUGCUUGCAAUAACUAUCUACAAGCCAUGAGUAGGUGCAAUAACUAGGAGAAAAUCCUGCAUCCAUCAUACCAAACAAGAGCUCUUUAGCCUUAUCAAUCUCUUUUGCCUUGCAGAAUCCAUGGAUCAAUGCCUUGUAAGUAAACUGGUCUAGCUUUAACCCGGCCCCCACCAUCUUGUCCUUCACUUUUAAAGCAGAUCGCAUAUCACCUAUCUUGCAGUAGGCAUUAAUCAACGUGUUACAGGUGACAUUAUCUGGUUCAAUUUUCCUCUCACUCAUCUCAUUCAACAGUAUAUUUGCAUCUCUUAACCUGCCUCCCUCACACAACUUGCGCAGAAUUGAAUUGUACGUAAUAACAUUUGGAUACAGCCCCUUUUCCGACAUCACCUCCUUCAAUCUCAAAGCUUCAUCAAGGUCAUUUACUCUACAAUAGCCAUCAAUCAAACUAGUAUAAGUCACAUGGUUAGGAGUAACAUCCUUGAUAUCCCUAAAAAGCUGCACAGCCUCUCUCAUUCUACCUUCUCUACAAAACCCAUAAAUAAGUGAAUUGUAAGUAACAAUGUCAGGACUAAUUUCAGCCAUUUCCAUCCGAUCUUGAGCACAUAAGGCUUCAUAAUGCAUUCCCUUUUUACAGUACAACGAAAUUAACGUAUUGUACGUGAAAAGAUCCGGAAAAACACACUUCAAUUCCAUUUCACUCAAAACCUUCUCUGCCUUCUCCACAUCCCCAGACUUACAACAAGCAUGAAGCAACACAUUAUACACAUGAAUAUUAGAUACAACCCCUAGUUUAACCAUCUUCUUAUAAAUUUUCCACACUGUAUCCGUCAACCUGUCCUUAGCCAACGAAUUCAAUAGCACAGUACAAGCAUGUAAAUGGGGCCUAAACCCAUUCACUCUCAUGUGCUCAAAAACCUGAAUAGCCUCGUGGGUCAUCUUGGAAUUCCCAUAAACUAUCACAAGCCAACUCAAAACAUGAGAAUUCACAUCUGGGUCAUCAUGAAUUUUCACCAAUGAACUCAAAACAGAUUGAGUUGACAAGAAGUCCUUGAAAGCAAUAUUUUCAAGAAAAGCAUGAGCAGUCUUGAAAUGCUUAUGCUUUGUCAAAAUAUAAAGCAUAGUCCAUGAAGAUUGUAAUGAGUGUUUAUAGUUAGGAACAGAAGAUUCAAUCCAUUUAAAUAAAGCCCAUGAAAGACAAGGACUUUGGUCAUAAAAAGAUAGUUGCAAAAGUACCUGACGAACUGUUGCUGUUGUUGUAAUGAGAUGGUAAUCGUUAGAGCCAAAUUUGGGUCUCAAAAGAUUGUUCCAGCUACCCUUUAUCACGGAUGCACAAAUACUUUGAAUAAGCAACUGGGUUUCAUUGCUUAUAGGAGUCAAAGUUGCCAUUUUUAUGGGGUUUUCUAACUCACUCUGACAAUCUGCGAAGUGUUUUGAUUUUCUGGUUCUGUAUAGAAAAAACCGAGGGGAAAGAAAGCUGUUCGCUGUGCUCUUGGAGUGGGGGAUAAUUAUGAAUAAUAUUUUAGGAAGUGGCUAUGAUAUUUCUAUGUGACAUAAAUAAGGAAACGAAUUUUAUAAGUUGUUUCAAUUAGGUUCUAAAUUUUGGAAGUUUUGUUCAAAAUUCCCUUUUAUUUUAGUACCUUUGACUUCGUAGGGUUGAGUAAAAUAAUCGAGUAAUUGAAUUAAUAAAAGUUUUUUUUAUAUAACAUUGAAUAAAAAAUUCAAUUAGAUUUCUUUAUUAAAAAAAAAGGAUUCUAUAUCCUUUUGAAAAUGUGAUUGGUGUGAUUGGUGUUGAUUUUUAAAAUAUUUUUCAUUUGAAAAAUGCAUUAAAAUGAUAUUUUUUAAAAAAAAUAUAUCUAAAAAUAUUAAUAUGAAGUAAAGAAAAAAAAUAAAAAAUAAAAAAUAAUUUUUUAAAAAAACACUUUUAAAACACACAAAAAAAAAAAAACAGAACCGAACUAUUUUUUUAAAAAAAAUAAAACAAAAAAAGAAAAAAAAAUCCAAACUCAUUACAUCAAAACCUCUAAAUAAAAACCAAUAAAAAAACCUCAUGGACUAAUUUGUUUUUUUUAAUAGAAAAUCAAUGAAUUAAAUCAGUUUUUCAAUAUAAAAUAAAAUAAAAAAUAAUCUUAGGCUUAUUACAUUAAAACCUCUGAAAACCUAAUUAAAAGACAAGUGGACUAAUAUAUUUUCUUAAAUAAAAAACAAAUCAAGAUAACAAACCAAAUUUAACCAUUUGGUUUGAAUUAAUUUUUUUUGGUUCGGUUCAAUUUAAUAGUUUUUUUAAAUAAUAGCUAGGGACUAAAUUAACUAUUAAUUGAAACAUGAGGGGCUAUCUUUCCACCAUUACAGAGGGAUGUAAAUAAAUUGGUGGCACCCUGGUUUUCGCGUUCUUCUCGAGUAGCGACGCUCUAAGAGAAAGCGGGAGAGAGAGAUGGGGAGCUUGAAAGAAAAAGUAGACAAGAAGCAGAAGAAGAAAAAGAACAAGAAGGCUAACGAUAGCGACUUCAGUGAAAAGGGUAUCUCUUGGUUAAAACUUCCCUGCUUUUAAUAGCUCACCUGCCUCACCAUCUUUCAAGUUCUUACUUUUUUUAAUUUCUACUUGAUUCUAACUUGUGGGUCUUGCUGUGGAAAAUCUUUUAUGUUAUUUUUUUUUGUUUUUUUAAUUGAUGCAUGUAGUAAGGAAUGAGGUUUUAUUAUGAACGAUUGGUUUUGAGAGAGGAAGUUUUAGUCUUUAAUGGAGAUUAGAAAUAUCAGGUUUUUAGGUAUCCUCUUAACGAGGACGACUACAGGAUGGUGUUUCCAGAAAGAGAAUUAGGCAAUGCUAUUGCUUCUCAUAAGUUUUUUUUGCUACUAAACAAUCAGCUGUGAAAUUCUGGCAUAGUAACAACACACACAAAAAUGGGUAGUUCAAGUAGUUUUAAAAACAUCUGUAACGUUUGUUAAUUUGCCGGUUCUUUGGCUUUGUUGUCAUUAUUGAAUUUUUGGUUAAAGAUGGAGCUGUAAUCGAUAGAGAUUCCCAAGUUCAAACUAGUUUCUGCAAGCUCCUUUUUUUUCUUUGUAUCCAAGGAUUUAGAAUUUCACAAAUAAAUUUAUGGGAGUUAAGAAGUCAAUGUGUGUGUCUUUUUUUCUUUUGUUGGUGGUGAAUGAGGUGAUUCUCCUAGAGUGGUAAAAACUGUAGCAGUGGGAGAAGUAUAGGUCCAUAACUAGGUAAUGAGUAGAAUUUUUAGUGUUUUGCAGUAUGUGUUAGGUUCUUUGCUCAGCAUGGUUUAUCAGUAGAUAUUCCACUGUCCCUUACUUCCAUUCGAUGCUUCAACCAAGGAUUACAUGCUUUGACUGAAGGAGAACUACUGUGCUAAAUGGGUAAAACAGCCAGUGAUCUAUUUUUCACCAUAAUCUGGUUGUCAAUUAAACUUUUGAUAUUCCUGUUACAUUACUUGUAUGGAAUACCUGGUUUUUCUUGAAGAAUGAAAAAUGGCUGCUGGUUUUUCAAAUGAUUAAGGGACAAAAGAAGCCCUUUAAAUCCAAGAAUAUCAUUGCAGCUUCUUUUCUUACAAUAGUGGUUUUAUAGAAUGAAUUAAACUUCGCAAAGUGUAGUGUUUGAGUAAGGGACAUAUAAGAUAAUUACAUAAUCACUCUACUUAAGGGACUGUUUAGGGUUGUUGCGGCAAACCAGCCAGUUGGCACCAUGGCACUCCUAGACAGGGACUGAAUCAUUUCACUUCAGAGAUAUAAAAUGGUAGACUUCUAAUCAUCAGUUUAGGUUCAGAUAAGUAGUAUGAAAUUAAUGAAGAAUUCUUGGUUUUGGCCAUGGUUAUCUACUCACUUGUCAUGUAUAGAUUAUGCCAAAUUUCUGCUAUAUUUGAAACUAUAAAUACUGAAAUUAAUUGCUGGUGGCAGUGCCUGAUCAUUUUUUAUUUCAGAUGUAAUGAUAAAAACAGAGGAUGGAAGGAAUAAAGUGAACAAGUCUGCCGAGAAGAAGAAGAAGAGGGAAAGGGAAAAGGAAAAUAAUAUUGAUGGUGGUGAUACUAUUUGGCUCAGUAAAGGUUUAAAAGUUUUUAGACAUAGCAAACUUUUUUCCUAUCUAGAUUUCUAUUAAUCUUUGUCUCAUUCACUUGUUUUUGUUGUUUCAGAAGAUGAUGAGACUAAAGCAGAAGGGGAAAAGAAAAGGAACAAACUAAGAAAAAAUACAAAAAGAAGUGGGGAGCAAAAUAAUGCUGUGGUUGGGAAAUCUGAUCAGCUUGGUGCUGAGUCUGAAGAUGGUUUUAAUCAACUAAAAGGUAAGUCAAUAGGAUUUUCGCUUGGUGAAAUAUGUGUUGACAUACUAUAUCUCUUGACAUUAUGUAACUAAGAUAGUGUUAUUUUUUUUAUCCGUAUUGUCUAGACAGAUUACAUCAGUGCAUACUUGGGUGCUUUGACUCAAUCUCAUAAUUGAUAAAUGCUAUAUUUGGAAAAAUGGGAGUUGUGUGAUUUCGUUAACAAUGUCCUUUUGUCUAAAACUCUCGUUGCAUAUGCACUCCAAAGUGCUUCCACGUUUUGUUUUCUCUCUUUUUUCGUUUUGCUGUGUUUCUUUCUCUUGAACUUGAUAUCACUCUAAUCCACAUUAAGCAAUAAAGUAAUGAAUGUCCGUUUUGUUUUCAUACUAUACUCUUUGUUUGUCAUGCUAUUGUUUUCUGCCUUACAACUUGAUUGAGCUAAGGGGUGAUAUUAAAAAUCCAAAGGGCAAAGUGAAGAUGUUAUUGGAAGAUGAGACAGAUGACAGAAUUUCUUUGUUGGGUUAUGCAGAAUUUCUCUUGAAAACAUUACAUUGCUUUCUUAGUGUGUUGUCUCAUGGUGUACUUCUCAUUCUUCAGGUAAAUCCAAGAAAUCUAAGAAAAAGAAAAGGGAGCAUGACACAUCAAAGGAGGAUGAGAAUAUGCUGGAAAAGAGGGGAGAGACCAAUCAGGAUGAGGCUUGUUGUAUUUCUUCUGGGGAUGAGGACUCCUCAAAAGGAAUGAAAAGUAUGUAUGAAUCAUAUCAUGUGCUAUGUUUUAGCCCUUCAAUUUCAUAAAUCAUAUUAACUAGUAAAAAUCUCUACUAAUCAAAUAAAACUAAAUGGUCAAAUAUUCUCCUUGAAGUUUUGUUUUGUAAUGUACACCAUUGGAUGGCCAUAAUUAGAAGUAGUGUAUCGUAGUAAAACUGUACACCCUUUUUAUUCUGUGUUGAUUGUGUAGCAUUUAAGCAUCCAUUUCUAUUUCAUGGCUCUCCUGGAACAUGACAUUAAGGAUUUGCAUGUCAUGAAUGGGGCAAGGGUAUUAGCUAAAAUUUUCUCUAUUCAAUUGUCUGACUGAUUUCACCAUGCACAAUAUUAGUUUAAUUUCUGAAUGUUGAUUUUAUAUAUAUGAAUGAUGCUUCAUUAUUUAGGUUCCUGACUGUAAACUUGCAUUACAGAGUGGCUUACAGAAUAUCAUCAAAGUAGACCAGGCCUGACGGUGCUGCAACAAAGAUUAGAUGAGUUCUUAAUUGCCCAUGAGGAAAAACUUGAACAGGUAUUGUCUCUCAUGCACCUCUGAGACUGGAUCAUAAUGCGGUGGACCCUUUUCAUAUUUGUUUCUCAGCACUUCUAUUGUUUCUCUAAAGUGAUCAGACCUGCGCAUGCAUUGUCUGGCUCAAAAUUGAACACUUCGCUUUGAGUUUGUACAGAAACAUGCUUGCAGGAAAAGCAUGUUUUUCACAGUUAUCUUUUGACAAAGGUAGAUGAGUGAUAUAGCCGAAACAUUGGAAGAAUUUGUAAAGUAAAUGUUUUGCUAUAGUGCUCUGCAUAUUUCAGCAUUCAGUUUAUGCCAUCCUGUCUCUUCUCUCAUUUUCUGCUCACUUCAAUUGAAAAUUAAUUUGUAUGUUUCUAUUGGCGAAUUAUGUGGUCAAUGUGUUCUUUUGUCAUGGUAGAUUUAGGCUUCCAUCAUGUCUUGUGGUCUUUCUUCCUCGUGCACAGUUUCUCAUUUGUCUUGAUAUGGCAUGUACAGGAAAGAAAAGAAAGAGAAGCCCAAGCUGCAGAAGGGGGAUGGACAGUUGUUAAACAUCACAAAGGAAGGAAAAAGACAACAGAUUCUGAAAGUGGAAUUACCGUGGGCUCUGUUGCUCCAGCUGCUGUGGAGAAUCAGAUGACCAAGAAAAAGCCCAAGGAAGUUGGGCUAGAAUUCUAUCGGUUUCAGAAAAGAGAAGCUCAGAGGAGUGGUAUGAUGAAUCUUAGCAAAUUAGUGUACUGUUUGUUUGUGCAAUAUGCUAUACUAACUAGUUACAGUAACUAUGAGGAGAUACCUGAUGUAUAAUAAGCAUUUAAAGAUCCACAUACACUUGUUUGGAGCAUAAAAGAUGGUAUUUUUCUCUUCAUCUAAGAAACAACUGCUCGUGCUGUUGCUUCUUGAUGAAUUUGGGAUGAGUUGAGUUUUACAUGAAAAAUAUUUUCAGAUCAAACAUGCAUCCUUAUCAUUUCAUUGAUUGUUGUGAAGCAAGGUAUUGAUCGUUAAAUAUCCUUGCAGAAAUUAUGGCACUUCGAAGCAAAUUUGAGGAGGACAGAAAGCGGAUUCAACAAUUGAGAGCUGCUAGGAAGUUUCGACCUUACUGAGUGCUGCAGAGGCCAUGCAGAUCGAUACAAACCGGAAUGUGAAGCAUCUAGGGGUUUAAUUCUAAGCGCCUAAAACUUUUGCAUCUGUUAAAUUAAUUAGAGAUCAUUAUCUGCAUUCUUGAGGUAUCAUAACUCUCUACGACAAUGAGCAAUUUUCAGGUGAUCAACUGAAAUGUCAAAUUUUACAAUGUUGCUGAAGCAACCUUUUUCAUGUUAUAUGAUACUUUCUUCUUGUAAAUCCUUUCAGUAGACAGUUCUAGUGGCCCAAACUGCAAUAAUGGAGGCGGUGCUCCAUUUUUAUCUUUAUUUAGAACACGAAGGAGAAUGCACUGAACUACACAGGUUAUGGCUAUUCCUGUGCGAAAGCAUCAGCAAUGCAACAUCUCUGUGGAUGUUAUAGCUCUGGCUGUUUGACCUAACAGAUGAAUGAUGAUAAAACGAUGCAGCAAUGAAUAAUGAGAUGUAAAAUACCAGUGCUGCAGUAUGUCCUCAAACAGGUUGAGAUUGCCUUUGCUGGUAUAGUUUUACCUGCAGUCCCACUUGAGCAUUUGCUUCUUUACACCAUCAUCAUGAUUUUUGAGAUCAUAUGGAAUUGCUUCAUCUCCAAUGAUAGGUUAACGAAAGACCACGAAGCUGAUAAUCAUAGUUCAUCCACCAUCUAGAGUGUGUUUGGUAUUGCGGUAGCCGUUGUGGUUGUGGUUUGAAAAAAAUUGUUUUAUAAAAAGUACUUUUAGUUGAGGUUGGUUUGAAAAAAUAGGUGUUUGGUUAAAACUGUGGUUGAAAUUGAAAUUGAAAAAAAAAAGUAGUUUAAUAUGUUUGGUUAAAAAAAUGUUUUUCAAUUGAAUUUUUUUUUAACUGGGCCGGACCCGGCAAAAACAUAAUUGGAAUUGCGAUCAAAUUUUACAAAUGCUACGUCAUCAUGCAAUAUCCUUUUAAUUUAUGUAGUAUUAUUAAAUAAUAUUAAAUACUAAUUUUUCGAGUAAAACACAAAUUUUUUUAAAAAAAUCAACAAUUUCAUUAUGUACAAAAUUCAUUUGACAAUAACUACAAUUAUCAUGAUUUAUCCUGCGUGCAAUAAAAUUAGGUAAAAUAUUAUCAGAAAUAAAAUUGAGAUUACAGUACGAAUAAAUUUAACUUACCUUAAAAUAAUUUAAAAAAAAUAAAAAAAAUGUUUUUCAUGUUCACGUGAACGCACUUAAUUAACUGCACUAGUUUUUCGAGAAAAAAAAACUUAAUGCACUGGUUUUUCAAAAGAAAAAAUUAAUACUACUGUUCACUUAGUGAACAGUGCGCGGUGGAGCAUGGCUCCACUAUUGAGAUUCCUUACUCACUACGAGAAGCAGCAAAAUGCUGCUUCUCAAGACCUGCGGUGCAAUCGUUGAUUUCAGUGGGUCCUACUAGCAAAAUACAUUUUUUUUUUUUACCAAACGCUGGUAUGUGUGGCUGCGGGUGAACCUCACCCACAGCUACACUACUAGUACCAAUAACGUAUUUCAGCACCCUUCGCUAGGUCAUGUCUUGGGUAGUGUAUGCUCAAAAUAUUGCAAGUAGACAUGCCUGAUUCUUGAUGACACAUGUUCUCCUGCCUUUCUCUGGUGCUUUCUCGUGGAUUGGAAGUGUUUGUGUAUCUGUCUUUAUAGGCAGAUUAUACGGUUCAUGUACACUCCUGGGUUGUGAAUUUAGAUAAUCACUCACAUCUUCCAUGGAUAAAAUUAGUUCAUCAAUGUGGUAUGUAAGAUCCUUCUUCAAUGGUGACAUCGGCUUCCUUCCAAGCCAAGCGGAAUGACAAAAGGGAAGCAAAAUGUCCGGGUGCGUGCUCCUAUGAGUAUUUGGAUGCGUUUUAAAAAUAUUUUUGACAGGAAAAAAAAUUAAAUAAAUGGGGUUUUCAAUGAUAUUUAAUAGUUUUGAUGUAUUAAUGUUAAAAAUAAAAUAAAAUAAUUUAUUUUUUUAAAUAAAAAAUAUUUUUAAAAAACACCACAAUAAAAUUAUGUUUCAAAAUUUAUAAGAACUUAAACACAAAGAGUUUUUUUAUUUUUUUAAUUUAGCAUUUUUUUAAAAUAUUAAUAAGACAACAUAGUCCAUAAAAUAUUUAAAAAAUAAUAUAAUUUAUAUAAUUGCAAAUGACAUUUAUAUUACAUAUGACAUUUAUGAUUCUCGAAUUACAAAUGUCACUGGCAACUCUUUUAAAUUAUAAAAUGACCUCAUACAAUUAUAACAAGGAAAAUGGAGAAAGCAUGGAAAAAAAAACUUUAAAGAUACUUACCGUAAUUUUAAUAAAAAUAUCAUUUAUAUCAUAAAAAAAAAUCGUAACAAGAUAAAUUCAACGACACCAAAUAAAAUUAUUAAUAAAAUGAGUAAUAUUAGCUGUAAAAAUGACGGGUAUUUUUGAGCAGCUGAUAUAAUUUAUUUUAAUUAUAAUGGGUGAUUAUUUUUAAUAUUGUUUGAUUAAUCUUAGCAAAAUCUUUUCAGAAUUAUUGAUGGCGUAGGUGUAGCUAUUAUAAUUUCAACGUGAUAGUAAGAUUAUUUUCUCUCUCUCCCUCCUUCAUUAUUGCAAACUGUGCAUGUCAUUUUAUAAUUUUAUAAUUUGAACUCUCUGAAUAUUUUCUCUUAGUUUUUGUUUGUCUCUUGCGAUAGAGUACAAAAACACUAUUCACAGAUUGCACAGUUUGCCAGUCUCUUGUCAAUUCCUCGAAAAAGCAAAAGUUUUAUGGGUAGCCAGGGCUCCAUUGAAGAACAUGCUCACUGCAGUCCACGGUACAGAUUUGAUUUGAUGGCUCCCUGCUCUCCACGCCACAAAUCCACAAUGACCUCGAAAAUUCAUAACCAUUGAGAGGCUGAGAAUCUCUUCGUUGAGUAUGUUCUUCCCAGCUGCAUACAACCCAGAAAGGGUCCGGAGGUGACAGGCGGGUCGAAUAUUCCAAGACCCGGUUUUUCCUUUCACGUGCGAAAAGAAUUUGUUCUGUGGUCAUGACUCAUAUCCUUGAAAGGCACUCGUGUCAACUUGUCCACUGCAUGCUUGCCACUCCUUUUAUUCUCCCAUUCUACGCUCCUCAAUUAUUAUCCUAUUCUUUUUUUCUUUUCGAAUUUCCACUUUGCACCAAAAAGGGAGAAAAUAUUUAGAAAAUAUCACAUUUUAGAAUACUACAACCAUCAAGAAUUUUAUUUUAUUGGUCCCAGUAGCCUAACUAAGAUGCCCUACUAGCGACUAGUUGCGGUCAAGGCGGUACCUUCAAGGUUCUGUUUGUUUUAUACUUUAAAAAAAAAUUUAAAUUUUUUUUAUUUAUUUUAAAUUGAUUUUUUUUAAAAAAAAUUAUUUUGAUAAGCUAAUUAUUUUAAUAUAUUUUUAAAUAAAUAAAUACUUUAAAAAAACAAAACAAAAAAAACACAUUCUCAAACAAGCUACAAAUUAAAGUCGAGGAUGUUUUGAUUUUUUAUUAAUUUUAGAUUUUUAGCUUAAUUUAAUGAUUUUUAUUUAAUUCCUUUUAGUACAGCUGGAUAACAAAAUUAUCAACACAAUAUUAUAAUAUAACUCAACCUUUUGAUUUUUUUUUCCCUUAAUUUCAACGGUUGAGCGCUACUCCCAAGCUUAGCAGCUUUUUUGUUCUCUCUCUGCCUAUCAAUAUCGCAAGCAAUCAACUUUUAAUGAUAUGCUUUUGCACUUUAGUUACUUUUAGGUGCAGAAUUUGGAACCACUACGUCAAAAGCAGCAAGGCCUCAAUGAAAAUUAGCCCCCCCUUUUCCAAGUUUUCCUUCAUCCAAGGGACUCGGAGCAAUCAGCACACCACCUCCGAUCGAAAAAGGAAAAAUGCUCACAAAUUAAAGCAGAAGUAAACAAAAGAUUGAUGAAUUGAUGUGGCGGUUAUUUUUGGAAGUGUUUAUAUUAUAUAUAUUAAGCAAUAAAGAUGAUCAAAAGAACAAGGCACUCAAACAAAUAUAGCAUGCAUUUGAAUGAUAAAAUGCAGGUUUUACACUCGCAAGAUCUGAUAACACAAACCCCUUUAUUAAUCCAAAGUCAAAACUAAAUUGAUAAUGAAAGACACAAGGCAUGGACAAAUGCCUCUAAGGACUCAGAAUCAUAACCCCAUGAAAUUUAUUCAAGGAAAAAAUAGAAGGAAAAAACAAAUAGCUGAAAAGAACUACUUCUCUUCAGCUUCCUCGUCCUUCUCAUCCUCACUCCAACAACAUUUCAGGAUAGACCUGGGAGAUGCACUGCCUCCAGUCCUUGCAAAGCUGUGGUAGAUGAUCGAUCCUCCUUUCCCAAGCAUUUCAUAGUUCCCUCCUCCACCAGAGUAACCUUCCACAUCCAGGGGAAACUUUGCUCGAAGUUCGGCACCCUUGAUAUUAGAAUGCAAAGCAACGGAGAACUCGGUCGGUUCAAAGCAAGCCAAAACCCUUUCAAGCAGCUGACUCAAAUUCAAAUCUUGAAGAUCAUAGCCCACAGCCUCAAAACUUGCAUAGCUGAAACCAUCUUCUGGAGUGACGUGGAUUGUGGAAAUUGCACUCCCUUCAAUGGCAUUCAUAGAGUAACCACAAGGGUCAAAAUCAAAAUCACAGAUCUCAGACUGUGGAAGGAUUUUCCUUAUGCCGGAAUCCUCAGUCAUCGCAGCAGCUGAACUGGAAUGUGUUUUGUAGAAAACAGAUGCUUGUUUCCUGCCCAAACCAGUCAUGCACAUUUCCAGAGUGUAAACAGGGGCAGAAUGUCUCCCUAUAUCGGCAGAGGCAGAGUAAACAUGCCAUUUCUGAGUUUUGUCAAGACCACCCAUCACAUAUGCCACACUGUUCAAACCAAGUUUACUGAAAUGGCCAUCAAGGACAGCUACCUCCUCACAGAAGUUGCGGUGUGGAAAUGGCUGAGCCCCAGGGCAUAGAAAGCUCCCACGAGUAUACCUCACAGAACAUACAGUGAGUGAAAGGGCAUCAGCGAGCUUAAGAAUCACCGGUAUAGAGAGAAGCAGUUUGGUAGUCCCACAAGUUUUGAUAAUAACUUUGUAUGGGUACACAAAGAGACUGGAUUCCGACAGGACAUAAGAAUCAACCUGGUCAUUUGAUAGCAAAUCAACAAUAGUACAUUCAGCUGGUUUGAGAAUCUCGUCCAAUUGAGCCUUGGACAAAGACCUCAGGCCCUUUCCUUCAGGGUCAGAAAAGAAGCCAGGCUCUUGGAAAGAUAUUUCAAGCCUUUUUUCGUAACCUUCAAAUCCGAUUGCAGAGAGCGCCAUCUCACCUCACAGUCAACAAAUGAAAAGUGCAGCAAAGAGUACAAGAGAACGAGGAAAGCAGAACAGAAAAACAGACUAAAGACAAUUGAGUGUGCGAAAUAGCUAAAAUGGGGUUAUGUCAACACUUGGAAAAUCUCAGGAUGGUUUCCGAACGCACUGCACAAAUAAACAUGACACAAGAUUAGGAAACAAGUCGCACAAUGAAAAGGCAAAGGAAAAACAGAUCGAUUAACUUCAAACUCACGUUGGAGUAUGCAGCAGAUCUGAACUUCUUGAUUCCACCAGCAGGUCUGAGGUCUUCAAUGCUGUAACCGAGGGGAGCUUCGUAACAUAAGGAUUUACUACUACUACUACUAGACUUCUUCUUGCCACCUUUAGACUCCAUUAGAUCAUUCAGUCUUGUCUGUAAGAAUCACACAAGAAGGAUUGCAAUUAGCACAAAACUCAAAGCAAACUAGUCUAUAAUCUUAAAAAUAAUAGCAAAAUUCCAAUAGCAAAUUAAAAAAAACUGAGAAGCUAGACAAGGAGAUAAAAGAAGCAAUUAAAAAAAUGAUAAAAAGGGCAAAACAAAACAAAGGGUACAAGCAGAAAACUUUUCAUGUAUUCACAAUAGAGACAUAUUGGAGAUUAAAAAUCAACAGACAAUACAAGCUACAAAAAUCACUAAUCAAUCACCAAAUCAUAAGUAAAAUAAAAUAAAAUAUUGAAUUUAAAAGACUAUUCACAAGGAUAGAAAAAAUACCAAAGAGAAAGAAUUCAAAUCCCCAAACACCAUUUAAUUUUAAAUAAGUUGCAGAAUAAAAUAAAAUAAGUUAUUCUCAGAAGAAAAUUUGCUAAGCCUAAUAUAUAUUUUUUUUUCAAGACCAAGAUCAUUGCUAAGCAACAUAAACCAAGUCCAGACACCUUGACGAAUCCAUAAACAUAAAAGCCUCAGAUUUACAUUAUAUCAAGGAUCGGAACAAUUAACAUACACAUAAAACAUAAAGGACAACAAUACAAAAACAAGUCCAAAUCAACAUCUACACCAAGAAUCCAUGCAAGUAUUACCAAAAAAGGGGAGAAAAAAAACUUACCAAUAAAAUAUAUCAAAUCUUGAAAAGCUAGUCUCCUUUGAAAACCCCCUCUUUCUCAAAUUCAAAAAAAAACCUACAAACCAAAGUCACAAAGAAUUAAACAAAAUCACCAGAUUACAAAACCACAGCAAGCAAAAGAAACAAUGUAUAUAUUACCUAUUCAAAAAGCAUAAAAGAAACAGGUCAAGAUUGAAUUUUGAAAGCAAAGACGGCGAAAACAGUCACCAAAUCAAGAAACCCUAUUUUUAUUUGUGAUGAGAGAGAUUUUUAUGACCCUAAACUUGCAAUAUUUUUUAUGUGAGUUCUGAGAGAAAUAUAGGGUUUAUAUAGGAGUGGCUGGCUGGCUGUGGAGGUUUUGAAAUAACCAUGGGAUUGGUAGUUAAUUACGUCCAUGCCACUACCAAAAACUUUCUUUCUUAUUUCACGUGAAUUUCCUCGAAGACCGGAUAGCCACACAUCUUUUGGUAAGUUAAUGACUAUAUUACCCUUUACGAGUUUGCAAGAUAAGCGGAGUAACGACAACGCAUUUUAGGUGGGCGAGUCGAUAGAAUCAUAGAAGUGUGUGGCUCUUCUGCAUUAUCAGCCUUAUUUCUUUUAUGAUAAUAAAAAUAAAAUAAAAUAAACAUUACAGUUGUUUUCUUAGGUAAAUUUAGGCAGGGUUAAAAGUUUAGUUGUCAUUGGUUUUUUUUAAGUAUUUUUUAAUACUGAAAUUUAUUAAAAUUAUUUUUUUAUUUUAAAAAAAUUAUUUUUAAAAUUAUCACAUCAAAACAAUUUAAUAUAUAUAAAAAUAAAAUUAAUUUUUUUAGAAACACUUUCAAAAUACUUACUAAAUAGUCCAUUAAGUUUUUUUUCCCUUUGGUUCACCAAUUAAAAAUCACUAAGUUUGAUGUGUUUUCACUUUGUUUUGCAAAAUAAUAUGAAAAGAGCACUCUCAAAAUUGUAUUGAAAAUAAUUUAGGUUUCAAAAAUCGUCUUUUACUAUAUAAAAAAAAAAGAGUUCAAAAACAGAGUAAUAUUCUGUUUUUUUUUAAUAAAAAACUUAAAAAUAAAAAGGAAAAAAUUGAUUUUUUUCAAGAUUUUGUGAAAAAAUAAGGUAAAAAAAAAGAAUAUUACAAUUAUUAAAUAAGCUAGGCACAGAAGAAGAAUUGCAUUACAGUUAUUUUAUAUGUGAAAAUCUAUUCUAUAAUAUUUCUAACUAAAUAUAUAUUUUUUAAAUUUAUUUUUUUAAAAAAUAUAAUUAAAAUCUUUUUUCUUCAAUUUGUUUUCAAACCGUAACAAAAAAAUAAAAUAAAACAAGCCAGUUCAGGUACGUAUGUGUUGUGUGGUGCUGCGCUGACGUGUCUGUUGAUGAUGACAAGUUGCAGCUGCCAGCUAGCUUUUCUUGGAGGGCUGACACGACAUGUAACUAUUCCCACCCCAUACGUUUACUGCCUGCCUCUUUGUCUCUUCCUUCUUUGCCCUUUUCAUGCUCGUCUUGCUUGCUGGUUUGGGUCCCACAGCAUCUAUCCGGGCUCACUUCCAAAUCUGUGGUGUGGUAAGAUAUCCCUUCCACUUUUCAAAAAAAAAAACCCUAGUUACGGGUUAAUUUUGAAUUUGGUUGUCUGUCUGUUUUUAUAUAUAUGUUUUAAAAAUAUUUAAAAAAUAAUAAUUUUUUUAUUUAUUUAUUUUAAAUUAAUAUUUUUUUGAUAAAUGAUAUAAAAAAUAUUAUUUUUUUUAUAUUUUUUAAAAAAUAACCACUAUUAUAUUUUCAAAUAUCUAUUUAAUCCACAUUGGAUUUCUUAAUAAAUAAAAUAAAAUAAAUUAAUUCAAUUAAAAAUUUAGGUCAACUUGUGUUAUGAUAAAAAAUACCUUUUGAUUUUUAAAAAAAAACUAAAAGCAACAUUAUUUUGAUUUUAAAAAAAUUGAUUUAACUCACUACAUAAAUCUUCAAUAGUACAGGUCAGGUUUAAUAACUCUUAUUUAAGAAUUAGCUAAAUAAUACAUUUAUUGACCUUUAUGGUCAUGGGUCCACAGUUCCACACAAAUAUGAACCACAAUCACACCAAUUUUGAUUAUUUUUUUAAUAAUUUUUUUGUGUCUUUUUUAUAUAUUGAUAUUAAAAAUAAAUUAAAAAUAAAAUAUAUUAUUUUAAUAUAUUUUUAAAUAAAAAAUAUUUUAAAAAAUAAUCUCUUUCAUAAUACUAAACAACAUCAAAAAUAAAAAUUUUGAAGUGUGGAGGGCUGGUUUGGCUUCCCAUCAUAAGAAUAUAUAAAGAUGAGAAGAGAUUAUUUAAAAAAAAAAUAAAGAUGACAUUGAUUAUUUUUAAGAUUAAAUAUUUUAAAAUCAGCCCCCAUACAUUUAGAUUAAAUAUUUAUCUGAUUCAGUUUUAUUUAAUUUUUACUUUCAAGUAAAUUUUUAUGUUUUUAAAUUUUUUUGAUAUGUUAAUAUUAAAAAUAAAUUAAAAUUAAAAAUAUAUUAUUUUUAUAUAUUUUUAAAUAAAAAAUAUUUUAAAAAAUAAUCUCUACCAUAAUAUUAAAUAUAGCAUGAGAGAGCUCAAUUUUGAGGAGUGCAGGGCCAAUUUGGCUUCCCAUCGUAUGAAUAUAUUACUAUGAGAAGAGACUUUAGCUUCUUCUUUUUUUAAAGAUGACAUUGAUUAUUUUUAAGACUAAAUAUUUUUAAAUCAGCUCCCAGAUUAAAUAAUUAUCUAAUUCAGUUUUAUUUAGAUUAUGCUUUCAUACACAUCUUUACUAGUGACAAAGCCUCUUUUUUUUUUUUUUAUCAACAAAGUCAAUUAAGGACCCUUGCGUUACAAAAAAGUUAAUUAAUUUAAAACAUCAAGUCGACACUUAUAAACCAAUUCAAAAUAACAAUUUAACAUAUGUGUGUAUUAAGAAUUAAAUUCAUAUGCUUAGCACAAACGUGAAGAAAAAUAGAAAAUAAAUUAAAGUGAAAUAUUCUGACUAUCUAGAAUUAUAUUAAUUAAAUUUGUAACCGAGGUUCCGUGUUAUAAUGGGAAUUUGAAUAUCAAAGCUUCUAAAAUUUAAUCCAAAAAGAAAUAGUAAAAAGUAAAAAGUGAGAAGAUUUUAGUUAGUUAAGUUUUGAUUUUUUUAAAAAAAAUAUUUACUUACCUGAAUCAUUAACAUGUUUAGGAGUGUGGUUGCAGUUGCUUUUAAAAAUAUUUUUCGUACCGAAAUAUAUCAAAAUAAUAAUUUUUAUUUUUAAAAAAUUAUUUUUGAAAUCAGCACAUUAAAAUAAUUCAAAACAUAUAAAAAUUUUUAAUUUUUAAUAACUAAAUAAAUAAAUUUUGACGAAACACGAUUUGCAUCGCGUUCCCAAACACCAUGAUGUUAUAUAGAUUUACAAUUUGAAUCAGAAAAAAACAUUCCUUUUUUUUACACUAAUUUUUAAUGGAAUGUAUUAAUUGGAUUUAAAACUUGAAUUAGAAAAAUAUUCCUUUUUUGCACUAAUUUUUAAGGGGAUGUAUUAAUUGGAUUUAAAAUUUGAAUUAGAAAAAGACAUUCCUUUUUUGCACUAAUUGUUAAAUGAAUGUAUUAAUUGGAUUUAAAGCUUGAAUUAGAGAAAUAUUCCUUUUUUGCACUAGUUUUUAAAGGAACGUAUUGAUUGGAUUUAAAAUUUGAAUUAGAAAAACAAAAAUCCUUUUUUGCACUAAAUUUUACAGGAAUGUAUUAAUUGUGUCUCUAUACAAGUUAAAGUGCUUGAAAAGGAGAAAAAUAAAAAGGUAAGUCAAUACAUCCUUUACAUAAUAUGAUAAAUAAAGCCAUCAAACUCAUGGAGGUGAUUUAUUAUUAUUAGCUCUGACAAGUUAGAGACAUGAAAAAUGUAAAUAUAAGUCCACUUAUUGUGUAAUUAUAGUUAUUUUUUAAAAUAUUUUUUAUUUAAAAAUAUAUCAAAAUAAUACUUUUUUUUAUUUUUAAAAAUUUAUUUUUAAUAUCAACGCAUCAAAAUGAUUUAAAAACACCAAAAAUAUAUUAAUUUUAAAAAAAUAAAAUAUUUUUUCAAAAACAUUUUUGAAAUGCAAAAACAAACAAAACAUAAUUAAAGAAUAUUUUCCUUUUGAAAAGGAAUCAAAUUCUUAUAUUUUCCGAGUUAAUCUGUUGGUUAAUGUAUCAAUACAGAAAAAUAAUUAAAAUAAAAUACUAGAGAUAAAAGGUUACAUCUUUAUAUAUUAAAAUGACAAUAAUUUAUAUCUUUAUUUUUGUAGGUUUCUGUUCUACCAUUAACCAUCAUAUUUAUGAUUCUUCUAGACAUAUCUUACACUUCUGUCUUGAAACCCUAACCAAAUUUAACCUUAAUGGUUGCCAGCACCAUUAUUAAAGGGAAGAUUUGCCGACACUUCUGUCCAAUUGCACGGGCAUCCACUGCUUAGGAAUAAAUUCUGUCGAGACAUUAGCUUCAUUAGAGCCUAUGCUUUUGCAUGUUGGGCGGAAAGUAAACCACUAGACAGUAUGUAUGCAGCAAAUGCAUGGAACUUAUCAAAAAAAGGCGAUUCUUCAAAGGUGCUCUUGAUAUCUAUCUUCUUAUUGAAGAACUAACCAUGAUGCUUCCGAGCAAUGUGUAUCUGCAGGCUUGGUACAAGGGACCAGACAACAUAUAUCUUCAACUAUUCUACGGGUGUUCAAGGAUGCUCAAGAACAAUUUUGCAACUUCACGUUUUCUCGAUGAUGACACAUAUGAAGCAUUUCUGAUGCCCUAAUUUUGUGAUGAUGUCCCACUACCAGCCCGAUCUGGCUGGAUAAGAAUUCUCUGUCAGCCAAAAUCUUUAUGAGCUGGUUGGCACGAGAAACUUCUGUUGACUUGCAAUCUCUAACUAGGAACAAGAAGCCAAAAGAAAUGAAGUGAAUCAACUCUCCUUCUAAGAAGUAGCAAAGUGUAAUUAUUACCUAUCAAGCAAGGUAAACAGACGAGCAUGUCAUUUUAGUUGAUUUACUCAGGCAGUGUUAUGAGAUGGAAAACAGAUUUUAAGGUUAACAAGGUGAGAGGCAUGUCCAGGGCAGGAGAGGCGUUUAAAAAUAAUUCUUGAAAUAUUAUACCGAAAUUACACACCUUCCAUGCAAUCAUUACUGAAAAGACACAAUCUAGUCAUCAUCUUUAUCGCUAUCAUAUUCAAUGCAUUACAAUCAAGAAGAGAAUCCCAUCCUAGUAGGAGAUGACUAGAUCUGACCACUAAUGUCACACUACUUUCUCUAAUCCGUAUGCAUCACAUGUUCCAUGGACAUUUUCAACUCCACCAAGCAACUAUGGAGCAUCAGGCCAUCACGGAAGUAAAUGCUUUAUAAACACUUUUCAUGCUAUAAGAUAGUUCAUGACAAAAGAAUAAAAGAAUCAGAAUGUAUGGAGUAACUAAAGGCUUAGCUCCCUUGAAAGAAGAGAAAAACCUUCAUUGUAACUGUUCCUGAUUCCUGUUAAUUUCUGUGGAAUGACUAAGCUUUCCAUUCUUCUUGUCAUACUCUUGUUUCAGCUCUUCCAAACGUCUGGACACCUGAUAACGAAUCCACUCCUUUUUCAUGAAUAAUGAAUAAAGUUUUACUUCAAAAACUAAGCCGGUUCAAUAUGCAGAACACUAACGCAUAUUAAUUACAUUGCUAGGGGUGUGUGUCUAAGCAUAAUUUAAGCAACUACCCAAAAUACAGCCAAAUUGCUCGAAUAUCCAACAACAUUAUAAAAUGCGCACACACAGACAUGAUACAUAUGGCUCCCCUUAUAAAUCAUCAAAAAUACAAUAUGGUUCCGCUUAUAUUAAUGGCUCCAAAUAUUAAUAAUUCUUACCGAUUCAUGAUUUUAGGAGGAACCAUAUAUUUUCUCGGAGUUAUAUUUCAUAUUUUUCACUAUUCUGUGUCAAGAAUACAAAACAAAACAUACACAGGAAAAGUGGCUGUAUCAAAUCAACCAAAACAGAAUUUAAGAAUAUCAGAAUUUUUGGCAGCUUAAACAGAGAUUGCUACUGAAUGACAGCAAACUUUUAUUAAAUAUCACUGUAAAAUACAACAUGUUUACUGGCUCAAAAGAUUAAAAUCCAAAGAUCAUCAUAGAAGCACAAGACUGUCUAUAAUUAUAAUUUGACUAUACUGAUCCAACAUACAGAAAAUGGAUGGAGAUAACCAGAGCAACCAUGAUAUAUAAUAAGUGUGAUAUGAUGGUAGAAUGUAGAGUUCAAAUAAAACUCAAAUUUUUGCUUUUGCUUAAACACACGCCAGCCACACACAGAGAAAGAGAGAACCUUGAUGGAGUUAGCCAUAGGCAGUACUGUAUCUGGAUCCAUUGCACCCUCAGGGAAAUUACGCAAAGCAUGUACAAGCUUCUCAAAGGGCAAUUUGACCUGAAAACAAAAAGAAAACCAAUUAUAAGCCGGGGAUGUGCGGCUAUUUCUUUCAGAGUAGACAAAAAAAUCUUGGAUCCUCACCAAGUCAUCAUGGCAAUAUUUUAGCAGUGCCAGGCCCACUUUGAAAACAAUUUUUACACCCUGGCAAAGAAGAAAUUGCAGAGACAUAUUAACACCCAGACCAUAUGUAAUGAUCCUUCCCAGAAAAACCGUAAAAAAUGAUUAAUAACUGACCUCGUAAAGGAAGACAUCCCAAAUCCGAAGGGCCAAGUGGAAUGGAAAAGAGUAUGAGAAAACAGUUAUAAACCACUGGCUUGCAUACAUGCUAGGAUUUAUUAUUUCUUGUGUGAAAUGCUCUCCCAGUUUCGGCAUAUGCUCCUUCAUCAAGCAGUCAAACUGAAACAGAUAUUGUUGAACAAGAGGCAGACCCACCUGACACAAGUAUAAAAUAUAACUUCUCACAGGAUGAAAGUGUUUUCAAAGCCCAAGAAGAGUGGAUGAGGUGCUGUUCCCUCAGACUCGAGUUCAAAAAGAUGCUACAGGUGGUUCAUAUGCUCAUAUCAUACCAAUAAAUGGUUGAUGGGGUUUUGAGGCGGUAAUAAAUCUUGGCAGUUUACAGACCGUUACAUUCCCUUUUCUCUCUCAAGUAUGAAGCAGCUCAUUUACAUGAAGCAUGUGGUGAACCUACCAUUGAACGUACAAAGAUCAAUCUAACUCUAAGAAAGCUUGAAGGAGCCCCAAAACUCAGAAUAGGAUGCCACCAUAACCAGGUGGAAAAAGAUUCUCUCACCUUUUGGUAUCACAUGAAAUAAACAAAUUUCAAAUGGUCAUGAUACUGUGGAUGACUAGUGGAUUCAUAAUUUUGGUAACUGCAGAAAACUUGUCUCCACAAAACAUAAUUCAAAACUAAUAGACUAUUUUUUCUUUCCUUAACAAGGAGUAUGGAAUCAAAGUUAAAACUCCAUAGUGGCUGGCCUUUCCUUAAGUUUGAGGAAGCGGUAAGCCACCCCUCUAGGUUAUGGUAUUUGAAAUUGUAAUUAGAUAAAUAUGCAUCUUGUAAUUCUGAACUUGGCUAAAAAAAUUAUCAAGAAGCGGUCCCAGCUCCUUAUCAAGGCAUUCCAAGUGUAAGUGUGCACAGUGGUGUGCGUGGGAGAGAAACAGAGGAAAUUCAAGCCUGAUUUCAUCAACAGAGGGCAUCCUUCAUUUUUUUUUAAUGCUAACAGAGGAUAUAAAUUCUAUAAGCUACUAAGAAGUGAAAAGUUGCAAGUGACACCACCAUUAUGUGGUGUAUGUAUUGUCAAGGAAGUUGAUGGAUGAUAACACUUCCUUUCAGCACUCUCCCUGAAACACCAAGCCACCACAACAAAGCCACAUGAAAACUUGUUGAGAUGAAUAAAUGCAAAUCUUAUUGCAUCGCGUUGCUUUAUCUCGCCCAGUCUGUGCUGACUUGAUAGUGAUCUAUAUCUAUGAUUGUAGGGAAUUAGCAUCUCACAGCCAAUAAUCUAAGCUAACCACAACUUUACAAAUGUGAACAAGAAGCUCUUUGUAUAAAUGAAUUACCUGAUAUAAUCCCUCCAUUGGAGCAUGGACCGCUCCUUUCAGCAACGCAACCAACAACCAAAAAGCAUCCUCUUCACUCAUAUAAAGAAGUAGUAAACCAGCUAAAAAUCCCAUCCCCUGCAUUUUUUAACAAUUGAACUGUCAUUCUCCAGUCAGUGAAUUAAGUAAAUUUAAGAUCCAUAAAUCACACAAGUCUCAGACCUGAACAUAUCCAACAUCUCUAUCAUACACAGAGUAAGCCUUCAAAACAUUGUACAGCGACCUUUGACCAGGACCAUGUCUCUGCUGGAAGAAAACAUGCGAUGGGAAGGUCCGAGAAAUAUCUCUAAUUAUAUCCAGCUCUGAUGCUGAUGUCUCAUAUAUAACUAGUUGCUGCAGUAAAUAUAUAGUUUCAUCAUUAUGACACAAACUAAUCUAUGUGUGGCCGUGUGUACAUGCAAGCAGAGGGAAAAGAGCAUGAAAAGCUAAAAUUAACAUCAGAAACCAAGAACUGUGCAUUCAUUUAUUCUUUUUAGGAUAUAAUUCCCCAGCCACUUAUGAUCUUUUCACAGAUAAUGUACUGGUUAUGUAGUAGUAAAUUUCUCUAAGAAUAAAUCCCAAGUCAAUACUUGUAAAAUCUCUUUGCAUGUGAACAGUGAAAACUCCUGCGUUUCUCUCAUAUGAAGGCACAUCACAAACACACAUCAGAAGACAGAGCCUUAUUUGGUCUAUUACGUGCAAAAGCUCAUUAGUGUCUACCCUGUUAAGGUGCCCUAAACAAAAGUUUUAUCUCAAAAAGCAAUUUAUCCUUCCAAAUUUGGUUCAAAGCGAGUAAGGAUAAUAGCCUUGGGGUAUUAGAAAGGAUUAGCAAAAGAGCUUCUCAAAACCCUCAAGAGGUCUAAAAACCCUCUUAGCUACCUUGAUGGAAAACUAAAAUUGUCAAAAAUAGGUAAAGAAGAACGAAAUCCUUUGUCUAGCUUAGAUUCCUUACAAAGAACAAAAGAAAGAAAAGCACUGAAGGACACAUGAUUGGAUGCCAGUAAGGGCUAUAGAAAAGAAAUAUCCCUUCUCCACGUCUUCUAAGAAGAAUAUGAUUUGUUUUACUUCACCGAUUGUACUAGCAAAAUGAUCUGCAGAUAUUUUUGGAAUAAAGCUUCACUGUAUGUAAUCUGCAAUAAUUUCAGCACCGAUCCAUUAAUUUUUAUGCGAGAGGUGUAGAGCCCUUGUCAGAGCCAAAAAUUUCAUACAUGUAUAUACCAAAGCAGCUCCCUGGAUAAUGUUCAUAGGUACUGUUCCUACAUAUACUAUGUUAUCCCCUUCUGCUUUCAAUUUCAACUCCAGAACAAAUCAACAUUUAUCUAUGUACAAAAAAACCUUAAAAUUCCCAGCAGUAGCCAUGUACAUUGAUCAAACAAUUGCCCUGAAUCUAAAUUAUAAGGCAGUCACACAUCACUACAAGGCAAUGCUAUUUGAAUGUUAAAUGUCUUUACAUAUGUGAGAUAAUGUGUACAAACUAAACAAGCAACCUAGUAUAUGUCGAUGCACACUUUAUUUUUUCAUCUUCUUACAUACAACUUUAACAUUAAUAAGCAUGGCAAGACACAAUUGCUCAUCAAGUUUUCCCAGCUAAUCCCUUCCCUGACAUGCUACAUAGCUUCCCUAGGGAAGGGGAUUAUAGAGACAUAACUGUCAAGUAGAUGGGAAAUAUAGGCAUUUUUUUACGAUCUUUCUUAAGGGAAAUGGCCCGUGGUGCUUAAAUGUCUGUAAUGAAUGUUCUUGAAAUUGGAGAUUGCUAAAGUUCAGAAAUUUAAUUCAGGACUAUAUAGAGCAUUCAGUAGGCAAUGGAAAGAAUUAUCCAUCUCUGGUGGGACUCUUGGCAUCCUCAUGGAACCUUGGUCAAACAAUAUGGUCAGAUAAUCAUUUUUGAAUCUGGACCGCCUUCUACAGCAAGGCUUUUACAUGUGAUAAACAGCAAUGAAAGUAAAUGGCUAGCUCAGAUGCCAUGGAAGUGCCAUUCAAUGUGCUAUUUGUGGCUUUCUCUUCCCUUAUCCUUCGCAAAGCGAUGGUGUUAUAUGGAAACUCACUAAUGAUGGGCAAUUCUCCUCUAAGAGUGCUUGGGAUUUGAUCAAGAAAAAAUGAAGCGGAGUGGACAGGUUAAAAGAUGAGGCACGUCAAAAUGGACAGGGUCAUGGUUUCAGUUUCUGUGUUAAGCAGAGGAUGAUGAAGACAGAAAUCACCUCUUCCUCACUUGUGUGUUCUCUAAAAGAGUCUGGCAGCCAAUUCUCCAAAUUUGUGGGAAUAAUAGGGUCGUUUCUGUUUGGAACUCUGAGUUGUGCUUGGCAAAAAUCUUUAUUCAGAAAAAGUCUUUUCAAUCUAUUGUUAUGAGGCUUCAUUGGUGUUUUUUUUCUACUGUAUUUGGAAGGAAAGGAAGCAAAAGAUUCAUAAUACUGUUGCAGUAGAUGAAGGUAGCACUGUAAAGAACAUUGUUCAGACAGUCCAGAUAAGGCUUCAAGAUACUAAGAUUUUGCAGGAAGCAACUGGUAACCCAAACAUUUCCAGAUUUUGUGACUUCUGGAAUUUUUUUAAGAUAAAUUUUCUUUCUUAUUUAGAUGUAAAUAACUCUGGUAAACCAGGAAAUUUCAGGUUUUUGAUCUACGAAAUUCACCAUUCAUAUAAAAAAUUAAAAAAUUCUUAAGGUCUUUCUGCAACUAAGCAAAGUUCUGAAAUUCAUACAUCUAAAUCAUCCAGAUGAGUAUAUCAGGCCAUCACAAACUAAGCCCUAGAAUUUUUGGCACUGCCACCAUCAAAUGCUCUUUUUAGCAUACUGAUAUACCAUCCACUAAAAAAGAGCCAAAGUUGAUUUUAAUCCUCUGAAUCAGAUAUAUUGACUAAUUGUUGAAAACAUUAAGAUGGAUAACAAAUGCAUGAUUUAAUCAAUCAACAUGGACUUUGAUUUUAAAUUUUAUUAUCUGAGAGCUUUAAAUCUUGUGCCUUUAACACCUACGUGUUGAAGUGAACAGACCAAUGUGCAAAAUAUUCAGAAAAAAGGAAGAAGUGAGGGGAGUCCGGUAACAUCUGAAGAACUAAAAUGAAUGAUUUUAACGCUCAAAGAUAAUAUGAGCAAAGCCACUACAUAUUACAAAUAGAAUCUCAUUACCAAAAUGAUAAGCAAAAGAUCUCAGGUUAUAUAUCUCAAUCAAGACAAGUGAAGGAGUACCUCAUAAACCCCAGGGUUCAUCAGCAAAAGGUCACGACUUCCGGAGAUCAACUGCCAAACAAGACCCCUUAAACAGUCAGGGAUUCCUUUCCUUAUGCGCCUCUUAACAACAUGAGGUUUUCUUCGAACAUAAAGCUUCCAAUCACUCCCUCCAACCCCAAUCAUCUUCCUCCAUUUUCUUACCCUUCUUUCCUCCCUGAAAAAUUUUUAUGUCCACAAUCACUAAUCAAGAUUAUUAUCUAUUAGUAUCAAGGAAGAUCCAUCAAUGAGCCUUUGGCAUUAACUCAUUUGGAAUAUUGGAAAUGACCUCCUGAAGAAACACCAUACCUCUCAAAUUCAUAAGCUGACCUUCCUUUGGUUAAACCAUGUGGUGAAUUAUUAACCUCUUGCUUCACAAAGCCAAACCUAUCCAGUGGUCUUGGUGAAGGAAGCGGUCCUGAUUCAUAUUCAUCUAUUUUUUUCUUCAUGCUACUAUUUGAAAGAAACUUUAGUAUGCCACAAGGCAGAGGGCCUAACUCUCCCUGACAUGGCAAUCCACUAACCAAUCUCAAAUCACCUGCAAAACCAAAAUUGAAUUAGCUGAAAAUCAUACAACUAAUACUAUUAGUUAUUACACAUUGAACACAUAAAAAAAAAUGAAAAUAAAAAGGAAUCAAACCUCAUUCUUAACUGGAGUGUUAGAAAACCAUGAGAGUAUCAAAAUUAACCAAAACAUUCUAAACAUGCAAGUAACCGGUCUGCUUAGUUAAAGAAAAUGAAAACAAGUAUAGUAAUUUUAGAGUUAAUUUCAAGUAUAUAGGUAUACAAGAAAGUUUCAUAACUGGUGAAGAUACCUAAUUAGAAGUAAGCAUAUCCAAGCACAAUGACGGCAACUAAUAUCGUUCAAUAAAACUGAAGACACGGCGGCAGCAUAGCUGUUUAGAAAUGACAAGACAAUAACGAGCAUAAACUAAAGCAAAGGAAACCACCUUGAAAAGAAGCAUGGCAAUGGAUAACAGCUACAACUAUAGAUGAGCAGAUAAGUUAAAUGAAAGAAAAAGAACCAAAUAAGGAGAGUUUAUCAAUGUUAAAACUGAACAUGUACAGUUCAUAAUACUAUACACUAAACAACAAACAAUGGAGCUUUCUCUCAAGCCUAAAUGAAUUCAAACACAACUUCUACCAGCCAAAAAAAUAUCAGCCAACAGGAUCUCAAAUUCCCGCAACAGUGAAUGUGUUACACGCCCAAAAUAUUUAAGUAAAAUGAGGCCACGUAAGCUAAGGAGUUACUUAAUUAUUAAAGGGCAUUUGUCUGUUAUGCUUAUUUUCAAUUCAGCUGUUACGUAAUUUAUUAUUUGAAAUAAUGAGUCAGUUAUUUUCUAUUAAAUGCUAAUUAAGAGAGUCAGUUAUUUACUAUUUAUUACAAGUCUGUAAAAUGCCUAUAAAAGGCAAGAGUAUUAGAAAUAAAAGAUAUCCUUUGAACUUUUAAUUGUGCCGUGUGCAUCUGUGGAGGUUUUCCUGGCUCCUCAAAUUGCCAGAAUUCAUUUAUAAUUCUUGGGGCCUAACAAGUUGGUAUCAGAGCCGGCGUUCCUGCGACAUGGCUGAGGGAACAAGACUAUCCCAGUUAUCUGAAGCAGUACACAAUUUACAAGGGGCAACCACUGCCCUGAAAGAAGAGCAAUCCAAGCAUGGAAUGCUAAUUGAAGGAGUGCUACAGCAACUCAAUAAUUUGGCAUCAAGCUAUGAUAGCUUGGUACAAAUUACAACUAAAACCAAUUCAGGAGAAGGGACUUCUAACAGUGUCAAAGUAAAUGCUAAUCCUUUGUUUGAUGGACAUGGGGGAAUUCAAGCUCGAUCUCUUCGAUUGGAUUUUCCUCGUUUCGAUGGGGGAGAUCCCAGUGAAUGGAUCUUGAAGGCGCAACAGUUCUUUAAUUACUUUGAGACUCCAGAGAACCACAAGCUGGAAAUUGCUUCUUUUCACAUGGAAGGAAAGGCGCUGACUUGGUAUUAUUGGUUGCAAGAAUCUAGCUCAGUGACCAGAUGGAGUGACUUCUUGGAGGCUCUCCGCACCAGAUUCGGACCUUCAGCAUAUGAGGAUCCAGUAGGAGCAUUCACCAAAUUGAGGCAGACAGGGAGCGUAGAGGAUUACCAAACAAAUUUUGAGAUCCUGUCCAAUAAAAUAAGUGGGGUAAGUGAAGAGUUUCGUAUAAGCACCUUUCUAAGUGGUUUAAAAGAUGAAUUGCGAAUUAUCGUUACCAUGUUCAAACCAAAUACUCUUGCUGCUGCUUUUGGUUUGGCUCGGCUACAAGAAGAGGAAGUGACCAGAAAACAUUUCCCUCACCGAAACACUCCCAACCAAAACAACCUAUAUACACCCUCAUUCAAAGCAACCACUCUCAGACUACCUGGACAAAAUCCUAUACCCAAAUUACUAGCCCCAAACCCAGCACUUAAACUUCCACCCCCCCAACAACCAAGAUAUAACCCACCAUUCCAGAGAAGAAACCCAUAUCCUGUAAGGCGUAUAAGUCCUGACCAAAUGCAAGAAAGAAGGGAAAAAGGUCUGUGUUAUUUUUGUGAUGAAAAGUACCAUCCAGGACACAAAUGCAGCAGACCCAAAUUAUACUUACUUGAGGGAAUGGAAUUCAAAGAGGAGGGAGAAGAAGAAUGGGAAGAUGAAGAGGCAUUUAUUCAACCUGAUAUAGAGAAUAUACCUGCAGUCCAACAAGCUAAUCUACUGGGCAUAUCCUUGCAUGCCAUUGCAGGGGCACCUUCUCCCAAAACUAUGAGAUUAGUUGGGAAAAUUGGGACAUGUUCAGUUAUUGUUCUCAUUGAUACUGGUAGUACACAUAGUUUUAUUGACGUGAAUGUGGCAAAGAGGGCAAAACUACAAAUGGAGAAGGUCAACUGGCAGUCCAAGUAGCUAAUGGGGACACCCUUCCUUGCCAGGGUUGCUGUAAGGCGGUUCUUUUACAGAUGCAAAGCUGUAAAGUUUUAGCCAAUCUGUUCUUAUUGACCCUAGGUGGGUGUGAUGUUGUGUUAGGGGUAGAUUGGUUAAGAAGUUUGGGAACUAUUCAGUGGAACUUUGCUGAUUUGAGUAUGAGUUUCUUUGUGGAUGGAGAGAAAUUAUUUCUGCAAGGCUUAAGGUUACCCAAGGAAGCCAUUAAGGAAGAACAUAGUCUGAGCAAGGUUACCCUUGUAGAAGGGAGAGGAAUAUGGCUGCAAUUUAUGGAGAUCAAUGAUAGUCCAAGAGGAGCACCAGUAGAGCCUACCCUACAAACUGUUUUGAAUGAAUUCAAAAUAGUGUUUGCUGAACCCACUGGACUCCCACCUCCAAGGAGUCACGACCAUCAGAUCCAACUCCAAGAAGCAGCUAAGCCAACAUGUGUUAGGCCUUAUCGAUACCCUUACUAUCAGAAAGAAGAAAUUGAGAAGCUGGUCAGGGAAAUGCUAAAGGCUGGGAUCAUAAAACCAAGUCAAAGUCAAUACUCUUCACCAGUCCUCUUAGUGAGGAAGGCAGAUGGAAGUUGGCGAAUGUGCGUUGAUUAUCGAGCUCUCAACAAAGAUACCAUCAAAGAUAAGUUUCCCAUUCCUAAUAUAGAUGAAUUAUUAGAUGAGCUUAAUGGUGCUGAGAUGUUUUCUAAACUUGACUUGCGGUCGGGCUACCAUCAAAUCAGAAUGAAGACUGAAGAUGUGCCCAAAACUGCCUUUCGUACCCAUGAGGGGCAUUAUGAAUUUUUAGUAAUGCCCUUUGGGCUCACCAAUGCCCCAUCAACCUUUCAAGGAUUGAUGAAUGAGAUAUUCAGACCAUAUCUCAGGAAAUUUGUGCUAGUUUUUUUUGAUGACAUACUUGUGUACAGUAAAUCUGUUGAAGAACAUGUGGGGCAUCUAAGAGCUGUCUUAGAAGUCUUGAGACGACAUCAACUAUAUGCUAAGGCCUCAAAAUGUAUCUUUGGCUGUCGAGAAGUGGAGUACUUGGGCUAUGUUAUUUCCAAAGAAGGAGUCAAAGCAGAUCCAUUAAAGAUUUCAGCCAUGAUGGAGUGGCCUGAACCUAAAAAUCCUAAGGCUCUAAGAGGAUUUUUAGGGUUAACGGGUUAUUACAGGAAGUUUGUAAAAGGCUAUGGAAGUAUUGCAGCUCCUCUAACUGCCUUACUCAAGAAAAAUUCCUUUAAGUGGGGUGAGCAGGCCAGCCAAGCUUUUGCAGCCUUAAAGGCAGCCAUGGUGACUCCUCCUGUUCUUGCUUUACCAGAUUUUUCCAAAAUGUUCGUGGUAGAAUGUGAUGCUUCUGGAAUUGGAUUGGGAGCAGUCUUAAUGCAGGAAGGGAGGCCUCUAGCUUAUUUAAGCCAAGCAUUAAAAGGUAAAAAUUUGUUCUUAUCCACUUAUGAAAAAGAAUUUUUGGCUCUUGUGUUGGCAAUUCAGAAAUGGAGACAUUAUCUGCUGGGACACAUGUUUAAAGUGAGGACUGACCAGCAAGCUCUAAAGCACCUUUUGGAACAAAAGAUUGGAACUCCUUUUCAACAAAAGUGGAUAACAAAGCUAUUAGGCUUUGAUUUUAGUGUGGAAUAUCGUAGUGGGAAAGGAAAUAAAGCAGCGGAUGCUCUAUCCAGGUUACCGGACCAGGUGAAUAGUACAGAACCAGAAGGGGUGAUUACUAAUUGUGGAGAAGCCAAAGCCAUUAGUAUGGUUACUGUUAAUUGGUGGGAAGGGCUCCAUCAAGUAUACAACCAAGAUCCCCAGUUGCAACAGUUACUCAACCAACACCAUCAAGGUGAUCUUGAUCCCCUCAAGUAUCAGGUCAGAGGGGGGUUUUUAUUCUACAAAGGGAGGCUACAUUUGGGAAGCUUAAAGAUACAGCAGGAGCAAAUCAUGCAGCAAUUCCAUAGUAGCCCUAUGGGAGGGCAUACUGGUUCACAGAAGACUCACUCCAGACUUAAAAGGGAAUUCUUUUGGCAUGGCUUGAGAAAGGACAUCAGAAAAUUCAUUAGAGAAUGUGAGGUAUGUCAAAGAAACAAAACAGAGAACCUCAAACCAGCUGGGACUUUGCAGCCUCUGCCAAUACCAAGUAAAGUAUGGGUGGAUAUUAGUAUGGACUUCAUAGAGGGGUUACCAUUGUCUAAGGGAUACAGUGUAAUCAUGGUGAUAGUAGACAGGUUCAGCAAGUACAGUCAUUUCAUACCAAUGGCACAUCCAUAUACAGCAGCAACAGUAGCAAAGGCAUUUAUGGAAAACAUAUUCAAAUUACAUGGUAUACCACAAAGCAUAGUCAGUGAUCGAGAUGCAAUAUUCACAAGUAAUUUUUGGAAAGAAAUCUUCCAUUUAAGUGGAACCAAGCUGCUAAUGAGUUCGGCAUAUCAUCCUCAAACUGACGGGCAGACAGAGGUAAUGAACAAGUGGUUAGAAGGGUACCUCAGGUGCUUUACCAGCGAUAGACCCAAAGAUUGGGCCAGUUGGCUAUCCUAGCCGAGUGGACAUACAAUACUUCAGAGCACUCCUCCACGGGGUUUACUCCUUUUGAGAUUGUUUACGGACAAGAACCACCACGACUCCUUCCAUAUGAGCCUGGGACCACAGCAGUACAAGCAGUUGAAGAUGAAAUGAAAAGUCGAGAUUUUAUCCUUACCCUGGCACGAGAAAACCUGCAAGAAGCUCAAACAAGAAUGAAGUUAUACGCAGAUAAAAAGAGAACAGAGAGGGAAUAUAGUGUGGGGGAUUGGGUCUAUUUGAGGUUAAGACCUUACAGACAGAUGACUGUGGCAGUGAGAAGGAACUUGAAGCUUUCUCCAAGGUAUUUCGGGCCUUUCCAAGUCAUUCAAAAAAUUGGAAAAGUUGCAUACAAGCUCGAUCUACCCAAAGACUCCAAGAUUUAUCCAGUAUUCCAUAUCUCUGUCUCAAGAAGAAGAUUGGAACUCAAUUAAGCCCUAACCCUAAGCUGCCGACAGUAAUGGAAGAAGGUAUAUUGACCCCCGAACCAGAAAAAAUAUUGGAUAGAAGGCUCAAGAAAAAGGGAAAUCGAGCAGGAGUUGAUUUUUUAGUUCAAUGGAAGGGAGCUAACGAGGAAGAUGCCACCUGGAUGGAUGGAGACAAGCUGAGUAAGACAUAUCCUGAACUCGUGGGCGAGUUCUUCUGAAGGAGAAGGUUAUGUUACACGCCCAAAAUAUUUAAGUAAAAUGAGGCCACGUAAGCUAAGGAGUUACUUAAUUAUUAAAGGGCAUUUGUCUGUUAUGCUUAUUUUCAAUUCAGCUGUUACGUAAUUUAUUAUUUGAAACAAUGAGUCAGUUAUUUUCUAUUAAAUGCUAAUUAAGAGAGUCAGUUAUUUACUAUUUAUUACAAGUCUGUAAAAUGCCUAUAAAAGGCAAGAGUAUUAGAAAUAAAAGAUAUCCUUUGAACUUUUAAUUGUGCCGUGUGCAUCUGUGGAGGUUUUCCUGGCUCCUCAAAUUGCCAGAAUUCAUUUAUAAUUCUUGGGGCCUAACAGAAUGUAUCUAAAAGAGAACUCGCAGACAAGAAAAAAAGAAAGCACUGAGCUUGAUCAUGACAAUAUGAACCAAUAAGGCUGAAAAAUAAAACCGAUAAAUCUUUUUCAUUGACAUCAAAUUGGUUAAUCUCAAAAACGUGAAUUUAUCACUACAUUAAGCCAAAACAAACCUUAGUUUUUACUGUUUUUUUAGCCUGGAAAUGAUUAGCCUACCUCCCCCCUCCUGCUGUUCAAUCUAUCAAUAAUAUAUCUCCAGAUAUUUUGUAUAAUUGAGAGAGAGAAAAGUGGAUAUGUAUUGGACAAGACUGGUACGUUUUGCAAGCCAAUUGGAGCUUAAUGCGUGUGUUGUUGCAAUAAAAACUGCACCAACAGUGGAACCGACAAUGACAGGCAAGAUUAUAUCGAAAGGAAGACAAAAAAGCGACGUGUCGUUUAUGUUUGUUAUUUUCCAAGUUAAGGCUUUAGCAUUUUAAAACGGCAGCACAUCGCAAGACAAAGGCCAAGCGUGAAGAAACGAGCAGUAGCGAUAAGGUAAUCGCAGAAAAAACAUAGAGUAAAAGGUAGCAUUUGUUUACUCUACAAGAUGGAAGAAAUAGAAAUAAUAGACAAAAGAAAAAUAAGAUAAAAUUAAUUGUGCUCGGUAAUAAAGUAUUAAAUAAAAUAAUUAUUUUUAUAUCUCAUUUGGUUAUAGUUAUUAUAUAUAUAUAAAAAAAAUUGUUCUUUACAUAUAUUAUUAUUAAACUUAUAUAUUUACAAAAAAAAUGAUAUUAUUUUUUUUUACUUUAGUUUAUAUUGAGUUUUAAAAUUAAUAAUAUUAUAAUAAUUUUAGUUAUAUAACUGAAACUAACUUAAUGGGUUGACUUGAGACUUAGAUUGAUUCAAGUUUAAGAAAAAAUAAAAAAAGAAUUGACUCGACCUGAUUCGGUCAAAAACUUAGGUUAACUCAAGAUAAAACACGAGUCAAAAACUCAUUGAUAUUUUUAAAAAAUAAAUUUAAAUUUUUUUUAAGUCAGUCGAGGUGACCCUCUCGACCCGUAACUUGAAUCUUGUCUCUAGUCGACUUCUAAGUCUAGUUUUAAAACUAUUAUAAUAACCACUUAUAUAUAUACAAUGACUCGGGUUAACUUGUGUUGACUCUCUCGACUUGUAUCAUGGAUCUUACCUUGGAUUUGACCCCUAUAUUAAGUUUUUAAAUUAUAAUAACAAUCAUUAUUAUUUUAUGUUGAUCCAAGUCAAUCUAGGUCGACUCUUCUGGCACGUGACCUAGGCCUUACCCCGUGUCGAUCCUCGAAUCGAGUUUUAAAAUUAUGAUGAUAACCAUUUUGUUCUUAUGUUGACCCAAAUCAAAGUCAAUUCCACUCGUGAUUUCGGCUUUGCUUUAGAUCGACCAUUAAAUUAGGUUUAUAAACUAUGAUAAUAAUUAUUUUUAUUUUUAUGUUGACUCGGGUCAACCUAACAUAUGACUCAGGCCUCGACUAGUGACUCGGACCUUGCUUUGAAGCAACUUUUGAAGAUUGAGAGUUUUUUACAGAGAUAUUUUAGGAACAAAAAUAAUAAAUAUUAUCUUUAAAGAUUGUACAUUUAUAGCUGUUGUUUUGAAAAUACAUAAAUUCAUUUUAAAAUUGCUGGUAAACAAUUUAUUUUUAUGUUUUUGUAUUUUUUUAAAACCAAAUAUAUUUCUGUCUUUACUGUGUCUUCGUCACUUCUAUCUUAGUAGAAUAACCAAACAUUAUCAGAUAACCAAACAUUAUCAGAUAGCCUUAGCUCGGCGACUAGAAGCAAUAUUCGAGUAGCUCUCAGGCAUUGGAGUCCAGAAACUACCGCAUCUAGCUAGGAAACAGCGUCUCUUUCUCAUCCAUAACGAGUUCCAUCUGUUAAACUGCUGGGCCCGAAUCAAAAGACUUUUUUUUUUAAUGGAGCACCCGUAGCAUAUGUCCUCUCAGUUGGAUCGACGACAUAGAAGAGCUAUUGACUGACACUAGCUUCGGUAUUAUCCUGAAAUAGAAAAGAUAAAAAAUAAUAUUUAUUAUAUUUUUAAAACUCAACUCAGUGAUUAUUCGAGGUAUGACCCGGGUCCCGAGUCAUUUUCAGGUUGCUGUGAUCAUCCAAACUUUCGAAGACCAUAGUUUUAUGCUAAUUACUCCGUCUAUCUGCAAUCUGUCUGUCUGUCUGUGUAUUUUACAAUGUCCUUGGUUGCUCUGCUAUCUUUUUUAUCAGUUUUCUAAAACAAACCAUCUGUGUGUCUUCGUUUCUUUUCGUCUGCAAACCCUACCCUUCGAUUAUUACUCUGUUAAUGUUAACUCCUACCACUACUGUUUUGUUCUUGCCGGUCUUCUUCAAGGGGAGAAUUGAGUACUGUGCUGCUAAUUUUCAUUCCUCGAAUAAAUAUCGUCGCCCGCCUGUGUCUUUUGCAAUCUUUUUGAACAUAUAUUCAUUGUUUGGGUGGCAAGGCAUCUGAUCAUCUGCUCUCCCUGUCUGUGAAUAUGAUGAAAUCUUUGACAUUUAAUUUAUGGAUUGAAUGAAAGAGAAAUAGUUCAGAUGGACUUGAAAUUAUAUAUGGGCUGGAUCUCUUGAAGCAAGCGUGCUUUGAGAAUAGAUCCUGCAUUUUUUCCUUGUACAAUUCGAGGUUUGAAUAAGGGCUGUUGGAUUAUGCAUCCUCCAGACACCAGACAGAGGUCCUGGACUACACGCCAUGGAUAUAUUUCUUCAUGAUCAUGCGUGUGUAGGGGAAGCAUUGCGUCACAGCUACUUGCAAGGGCAUCUGGAAAAAGAAAGCUAGAAGCAAAGAUCUAAGCGUUGCUUUCUUUAGUUAUAAACCAAUUUUCUCUCCAUUUUCUAUUAUUGAUUUGAAUUAAUAAAAAAAUUAAAAAGAUUCAUUAAUUAAUUUAAUGUUUUUUAAAAUAAAACAUAUAUUUAAAAACAAAAGCUACCACACGCCGUUACUUUACGAAAAGCUCUAUGGUAGGGUUUCCGGAAGCUUUCGUAUGCAAUUACAUCAUACUGAAUCUUCCAUGAUGUUGGACUCCAUCGAUCUGGAGAAAUCUCCAUGGAAUCAGAUGCAGAUUUCUAGUCGUAAUCAUACUCUCGACAACAUUAGCACUCAAGGCAUGCAGCUGGGUAAGCGUGAUGGAAAGUGGUAGAUAUUGGCCAGGAAUCUUUCAUUUGGUCUUGUUUAUGGAAAGAUGAGACUACACCGACGAGCCAGUGGAUGCAUGAUUUCUAGCAGUGCCUGUCAUUUUCUUCGAAAUGCAAUGCUCUUCCACUCAGCUGUCACUGCAAAUCAAAUGCAUUCCUAUAAAGAGGUCCACUCUGUAUUGUUUUUCACACCCAUAAAAGCACAGCUUUUUUAUUUUUUUGAGGCUCUUUUCCUUGCACAUCAAGAAACUUCAGUCGCUUUAUGUCACGCGAACAAUUUGCAGCCCUCUGUGCUGGAUUUUAUGCACCUAAUUUGAUUCUUGCUGUGUGAUUAUUAAUUUUUCAUUUUUUUUUUAUUUUCCAAUGCAUUAUUGUGAAGUGUGAGCCCAUCUCCAUCAACCAUGUUGAUUAGUAGUGUGAAAGAACAGAUGAUUGAAGGUUGGCUCUAGGUCGCCCAAGCUAAUUUCUGUGUAGUUUUCACUUCUUGCAAGGUCAAGUUGCACCAUCAUUUUGCCUUUUCAAGAAUAUUAUUUUGUUUUUAUUGUUCUAUAAUUACUUUUUUUUUUAUAACAUGAAUAUCCGGGCCAGUUUGCGCAUACCUCGACUAAUCCCACGGGCUCUGAAGUUAACAACCAUCUAAGUUUCCAGAGUGAUCAUCAUAUUAGUAAUCACAUGACUCGAACUUAAGACCACGGGGAGAGCAAGACCUUUGCUCCCAAGCUCUUGUUACUGGGCCACCUACUAGAUGGUUGUUCUACAAUUAUUUAAUACAUCUAGUUGUGCCGCAAACUCACAUUAAACAAUGAAAGUGAUGACUUUUUUUAAUUUUAUUUUUUAAUAUUUACAAAUAAUUUAAAAUUUAUUUUUGUAAAUUAUUAGUUUACUUUUUAUAAAGUUAUCUUAGUAUUAAACAAUUAUCAUUCUAUUUAAUUGAUACUUAAUUUUACAAGCAUUUAUAUUUGUUAUUUUAUAACUAAGAAAAAAAUCAUUUUAAAAAACAAAGUUUUUUUUAACAUAAUAGAGUCCAUAACCUAGAUUGUGAAUUUAACAGAUUGAAUCGUGAAGUUUAGAUCAAUCUAAUAUGUAACUGUCUUAAUUUUAUUUUUUUAAAUCAUGUUAAAUUUUUCUUUAAGUCAAACCAUGUUUUUUACCAAUCAUCUAGAUUGUUUUAAGACCUGUUAAGUUGACUAGUUUAUAUUAGAUUAAUUUUUAUAUAGUUUAGUUUCAAACUCAAAUUAUAUAAAAAAUCAAACAAAAAAAUUUAAAAUUAACUAAUUAAACCGAGUUUAAUAACAAAUAAUAAUUGUUUUUGUAUGUUCUGAAUAUUUAUUUUACGUCGAAGGAAUCCUGACUCGAGAGCAUGAUGGUGUAAACUAGCCUCUGAGAUGUGGCAAUUUCCAUAGAGAAGAACUGCUUGAUGAAAUUAUUAUGCCACAUUAAACCUCACAUACCUAAUUUUAAGCCUAAUUCAUCUUGUUUGGUUACAUCAAAGCUGGCUUCCCUUUUUCCAGAAAUUUCUUGCGGACUGAGAAAUUGAGUAUGGAUUGCAUUUUGGAUCUUUUUCCCACAUCAUCUAGUCUUCAGAUACAAUUCUUAUCCUUUUGACCUAACACAAAAAUUAAUUAAAGGGUUUGAUCUCCCCAUCACUACACCAUCAACUCUUGCCCAUUAUUUUAGGACAAAAUAUGGAACCUAAUAAACACCAAGGAAAAGAUGGAUGCUACAAGGAUUUGUUACCACACAUAAAACUGGAAAACCUCAUCAUCUAGGGUUCAAGAUCAUUAAAAUAAGUUGAAUAGCAACUACUCCUAGCUGGACUUUAAUGGCAGCCAUCCAUAUCAUGGAAACAAUGUCAUUUUCUAAUGGCCGUGUUUUAAGAUUCUGUCUUGGUAAUUUCGACAGUGUAAACGGCUCAGAUUGGUGCAGAGGCAAGUUGAUACUCAUUUGCUCAUUACCUAGCAUGUGAAUUUGAAUGCUUGCAGCAAGGCAAAGAACCAUUCAAGUCUCUUUCAAGCUUUGAUGUACAAGAACUUUGCUGAGCUCAUGAAAGCUCUAUUUGAUUACAGUUUGCUUUCACAGUUUACAUCCAAAUCAACAUGCUUGUCCCUUUGAGGGUAAGAGAAGAAUCAAAGAAGAAUGACUUCAACUUUUCAGGUUGUAGUGAAGCAGCAGGGAAGAUCUAAUUAAAUCUGUCGCAGGACAUUACCAUUCGAUAAUUCUAUGAACAGUUUUCUUUUUGUAAUACAGCAUGAAUUACUUUGUAUUAACGAGUAAUUUGCUUUUGAUUACAUAUUUACAUUACAUCUAAAUUUUAUUUUUAACUUUCUUUAUUUGUAGAGAUUGUUGUCAGCUUGUCAUUGAAAGCUUUGAACUUCACUUCAAAAUAUAGCAGCUUUAAGCCUUCUCUUCAACUCCUUCCUGCAGAAAAAACAAAAAUGAAUUGACUCUUGGGACCUUUUUCCAAAACCCUCCUCUGGUUUUAGAUUCUUGAGUCUGUGUUAAAGUUGGUUUACCUCGUGAGUUCCCUAUCAAUGCUUGAAGCAGAUAACAGUCCCCUAUUCUCUUCAGCCCUCCUUAGAAGGUAAGGGAUAACCAUCUCAACAGGCCCGUAUGGCGUGCAUUUGCUAACUAGAAAACCUGCAUUGCGUAGACCAAAUGAAAGCGCAUCUGACAUUCCAUAUAGCUGUGCAAACUCAAGCUUCUGGUUCCUCUUCUCAAUCCCCAAGUCUAUUGCCUUCGUCGCUGCCAAUCUUCCUAUACAAUGUACAUAGAACCCUGUAUCAAAUCCAAAGGCUAUUACGAUAGCUAUAAUUAAUCACAUAUGAGUCUCCUUCAUCUCUUUACCUGAUUCAACAUUAUGUGUUGCAAGGAUGACUGCAUUUGAGCUAUUAGCGAUCUUUUCAAGCAUGAAAGAAGCACAAUCAUUGUAGGAAGCAUGUGUCUCUUGAAUACUAUUGUGAAUUGGAGAUUCAUAGCCUAACGAAGAGGCUAUUUUUCUUUCACUUGACAUAUAAGCGCCCCUCACUAACUUAAUCCCCAUAGGAACUCCCAUCUUGUCAGCGGCUUUUGUUGCAAGGAACAACCUCUCUUUUGCGUCUUUCAAGUAGGCUUGAAUUGUACCAUACACAAUGGGAUUAUCAUUUUUGUUGUACUUGAUUGCUGUCAAAUACGUCAAGUAAUCAAUGGCAGGUUGAACUGAUAUAUGCUCUGCAUUCACCGUCAACGGGAUAUUGGCCUGGACACAUUUUUCACACAGUUUCCACAAUCUCUCCUGGCCUAAUUGGAGAUCAUUCUCUUCUUGUGGGGUUAAUGGUUCUGGUUUUUUAAGUGUAUGAUACAAAGGGCUAGAAUCAGAAAAAAUUGGAAAACAUUUCUGUUUCCAUGGAAGGUUGAAGGAAGGAUCUCUUUGUUGCCACCUUAACACAUCACUAACUCUCUCUAACAAGCUUAAGGGGCACAUUGCUGUGAUCUUUGCCACCACACUGCUCACCUGAUGCAAGUAAAAAAAAAAAUUAGCCUACAAUAUUUGAGCUGGUUUCUUUCUGCCAAUAUCAAAGAAAGACAAAACAAACUUGAUAAGAUCCGCGAAAGCUUGCCCGAGGACACCCCGCCCCUAAAACCAAAAGAAAGAAGUGUUCUUGUAGCCAGUGUGUUCAAUUUCUGAUGGGAUACCUCAACCAUGAAAAGGACAGUCCUUGUUUCUCAUUCUGUCACUUUCUAUGAUGCAUAUAUUGCAAACUCUUAUGGUCAAUGGUGUACAAUAUGACCAGGUGGAGUCCAAUUGCACACGACUGCUUGCACAUGAUCAACUUGAUCAACGAUUCUACUCGCAUCCUAAGCUGUAAAACUAACAUAUACAGCAGGAUCCAUAUCUAAUUUCUAAAGCAAAUUUCAAGAGAAACAAAACAGAGACCCGAGAUACUUGAAAACAAAUGAAAGAAAGAGCAAAAUUAACUUGAUAGACAAAAUAAAAAUAAAAAUGGGGCUAAUUAUGGCUAAUUGAGGAAGAUGUAAAUCUUACAGAAGAUGGAGGAAGAGACAUGGCAGAUUGAACAGAAUCAAGAAACCCUUUCAGAUUCUGAUCACAAGCAUCAUUAUUACUUGUAUAUUCAACAGCAAAAGCCAACAUUACUCUCAAACCGGCUUCAUUAACUCUCUCAACACACCUUCUGGCCUCAACAACAUCUUCUCCAGCACAAAAGUGUUUAAAGAACGUAUGCCUUACCGUCUUUAACACAACAUCACGUACAAUAUUAUCUGUCUCCAUAAUCCUAGAAUUCAUAACCCACAUCCCAAAGUCAACCAGAGGACCUAUAGAAACCAAGUGAAGAUUUGAAGAUGCAUGCAAGAGUUUGGUGGUUGGCAAAUUUGAGAAAAGUUUUCGAUCGUCAUUAAAAUCUAGGAUGGAUGGUUUUGCAUGAUCUUGAAUGAUAGUGGGAGGUUCUUGGAUAGGGGGUUCGGGUUUUUCAGCCAAAUUUAGAGGAGAGACGGCGGCGGAGGCUUUAGAGGAGGAGGAGGAGGUGUUAAGAGACCUUGUGAUGAAGAAACGGAGGUUUUGGAGUUGUUUUGGUGGGAGAACUUUGGUGGCCAUGGAAGGUGGAAGAGAUUCAGGCUUUCUGUUUUCCAAGUCUUGGGAUACGGAGGUUUAUAUAGGAAUUGUAUUUUUACUGCAAUUUAUGACUUUAUAAAAAAGGUGAAAAUUGAUUUAAAAAAUAAAUAUUUCCAGUUUUUUGUUUCAACAAAUAUUUUUACUGCAAGAGUCAUAUUGGUAGAUCUAUAAUCUUAAGUUUUACAGAUAUUAUUUUUUAAAUUAAGAAAUAAUUUGAUUUUAUUAUGUUGUGUUGGAUAUUAGAUUUAUUUAUUAGUAUUUCUUCCUUGAUUUGAUUAUUUUGAGUGCCAUCAUUUUUGUUUUCUUUUUACUAUAUUAUUUAAAGUUAACCAAAAUAGAUCAAUUUUUUUAAUUUUAUAAAAAAAUAAUAUUAUUUAAAAAACACAAAGAAAAAUAACUAGUUAUUUUUCAAAAUCACCUUCUUUUUUUGUGUGUUUUAUUUGUUAUUUUUUUAAAAUUAAAUUUUGUAUUUUUUUAUUAAGUUAUCUCGCUAAUAUGAUUUCAUUCUCAAGUUUAGACGAUCUUGUCUAAAUUUGUUAAUAUAUAUUUUUUAAAUUUAUUUUUGUUUAGUUUUAUUUUUUUAAAUUUAUUCUUUUAUAAAAAUUGAUAAUCAUUUUUUUUUAAUCCAAUAAUAUUAAAUCAUAUUUUUAAAAAUAUAUAUAUAUAUAUUAAUAACGCUUCAACAUCACUUUAAUUUUAUAAAAAAAUUCAAUCAAACCCGUGAUGAAUAGAAGGCCACCCAUCUCGUGCUCGUCUAUAGAUCCAUAGACGGGACAAAAAUAUUGGCGAACUAUAAAAGGUAAAGGCAGGGAUUAGAUAUACUUAUUCGUAAUUUCCGAUCCUCUUGGACGUGUCUUGUUUCGGUAUAUUUGGAAUUAUGGUUAAUUGUUUAAAGUAUUUUUUAUUUUAAAAUUAUUUUAUUUUUAAAAAAUUAUUUUAACAUUAAAACGAUUUAAAAAUAUAUAAAAAAUAAAUUUUAUUUUAAAUAAAAAAAUUUAAAAUUUUUAAAAAGUGUUCCAAACACACCGUAAUACUAACAAGGCCAUGAUGUGUAUGCUCAUAGUCUACCAAAAUAAUAAUAAUACUAAUAAUAAAUGGUGUAAUUUAAUUGGUCAAGUCCUGAGUUUGUUUUUUAGAGGUCAACAGUUCAAGUCUUACAAAUCUCAAGGCUAUUGGAGGCUUACAUAGUCAUUAACUUUAAGAAUUAUAGGAUUAAUCGAGAUGCGCACAGGUUAGCCCGAAAAUCUAUAUUAAUUUAAAAAAACCACUGCUGUGAAAUAUUAAAAGAGAACAUAUCAUCUCGGUUUACUUUGUCAUUUCAAGUUUAUGAUGUGUAUUAAGAGUUUGGCGUAUUAAUAUGAUUGAUUCAUAUUUUUUUUAAUUAAUAAUUUUUUAAAAAAAUUAUUUUUUAAUCACAUCAAACAUGGUAUAUUUGGAAGAUUUUUUUAUUUUAAAAAAAUGGUGCCAAAUGAGAUGUUGUAGAGGGUUGAAGAAAGCUUUUGCAAAAAAACAAUUUCGAAGUCCGCACAAACUUUGAAUAUUAAAAAUUAAUAAGAUGAUCAUUAAAAUCUUAUAUAAUUAUUAAUUUUAAAAUAUAUAAAAUUAGUUAAAAAAUAAAUAAACUAAUCAAAAUAAUCACAUUAAUAAUAAAAAUAAUAAAUAUUUCCGCGGAGCAAGUGAGGAAUCACAGAAAAACGUGCAUACGCACAGGGUGGGAGAGGCAGAGACCAUGAUGAUUCCGUCCCUACCAGGAAAGCUCAAUUGAGCUGCCAAUUAUUUUAAACACCGAAGAAACAUAAAAUUGGAUACUUUCUCUUCAAUGGUUAAUUGUUUUGGAGGUGAAAAUGGAAGGAUGCAGGGGAAAUCAUGCUUGUAAAUUUUUAAAGGGAUAAUUUCAUCGAGAAAAAAUCUUGAAAGGAGUGCAUCUUCAAGUGAAAUAAAUCGUAGCGGGAAUUUAUCAAGAGAUGAAAAUUUUUAAUAAAAAAAUAUCUUUAAAUGAUGUAAAAAUUUUAAUAAUUAUUAUUAUAUUUUUGAAUUUAGAUGAAAAGAAACACAAUACUCAAAAUCAGUUUGGUAUUUAAAGUAUGAAUAUAAACUUUUUAAACUAUGUUAAAAAUUGAAUUUGCAAAUUAUCUUUUUUGUCUAUCUAUUUUAAGUAUUUUAUAAUAUUAUUGGUUAUUGUAUUUUAUUGAAUUAAAUUAUAUUGUUUACUAAUAUUAGCUAAACAUCUAAUUUAACCCCUAAGUGUUAUGAUUUUCUUAGUCAUAUAAUAACAAGCCAAUGUUGAUAGCCUUUCUUUAUAAUCGUUUCAAAAUCAGAAUUUUGAUAUAUCUUUCAUGUUUUAUUUUUUAUUUUUUAAAUUUUUAGGUUUUAUUUUUUUUUUCUCUCUCUUAUUUAAAGUUUAUGCCGACCCAUUUCUUUUUUUUGAUAUGCUUGUUUUUUCUCCUUGGAUUUGCAUCCUUUUAUACACAUUUUAUGAAAGAAAAAAAAAAAUAGGCAGAGGGAUCCUAGUUGUUUAGCCCAACCCUCGUUGGUCAUUUAGAGGGUGUUUGAGAGUGCUUUUUAAAAGUGCUUCUGAAAAAAUUAAAAAAAAUUUUUUUUUGCUUUAAAUUAAUAUGUUUUUGAUGUUUUCAAAUCAUUUUGAUGUGCUGAUCUCAAAAAUAAUUUUUAAAAAAAUAAAAAAACAUUAUUAACAUGCUUUUCUAAAUGAAAAACACUUUAAAAAGCAACAACAACCACAUUCCCAAACACGCACAUAGUUUUAUUUUUGGAAUUUCUUGUAUGUGGUAAAUAUAAACUAUAGUAUUUUGAUCAUGCAUGAAUUCAAAUAAAUAAAUAAAUAUACAAUUCUAGGUAUGAAAGUCCAAAAUUCCACCACCAAUCUUGAUAUAAAAAAUACAAGCUUGAUCAAUGUACAUAAAAUACAGUCAACUUUCUUAUAUCAAACUAGAAAAUUCUAAAAAUAUAAAAUAUAAUUAAUUAAUUAUGAUAUAAUCCAUAAAAAAACAUGAUUAUAAAAUUAAAGAUGUAUAUAAAAUAACUAAUAAAAUUCUAUUAAUUAUUUUUUAAAUUUAAUUCUUUUUAAAAAUAAAAAGUUGUAUAGUGAAACCAAGGGCUAACACUACACGCGCCUUGGCCUGUUAUUCAUUCUUUCAUCAGCUAGUAACCUUCUUACCCUCAUGUGGUCACGCUAAACAAAAUAAAUAAAUAAAUGCUAUUUGGAUUCAAAAUCUAAGCGCAGCCAUUGAGAUUGGACGAGACAAAUGUGAGAGCAGAGCAUGAAUAUCCAGAUAACCAACCACACCCCUCAAGUGAGUUAAUUUACCAAACAUCAUAAGAGUUAAACGUAAAUACACAAACUUAUUAUUUAUUUAAAUCUAUUUGCCUGGAAUUUUGAUCUCUAAAAUGUUUUUCUUUAUAUAAUAUAUAUUUUUAUUUUUAUUUUUAAUAUUAAUAUAUAAAAAAUUUAAAAAUAUUAAAAAUAUAUUAAUUUAAAACAAAUAUUUUUUAAAUUUUUUUUUUUAAAACAUUUUUAAAAUACAAAAGAAACAGUAUUUAGUCUUAGCCCUCCAAAGCCAGAGCAAGAACACAGCAAAAAGGUGACACUGACGCUGAUAUUCAUCUUUUAAAGAUUCUCCUUUGUUAAACAAUCAAAGCCCUACUCGUCAGUGGAUUCAUUAGAGACCAAAUAAACUAAAUUGAAAUCACCAUUGAAGCUUCUUCUUGUUUUUUUGGUCUUUUGAGGUAAGAGUUCUAUAAUCAUACUGCCAUUAAUUAGUCGUUAAUUAUUUAGUUUCUAUUGUUUUAUUCCUUAAUUAAUAUGAGAUUGUUAAUUUCUUAAGAUUUCAUUGGAGAAUCAUUGAAAGUAAAGUUUUUUUUGGUUAGUAUGACCGGAGGAAUUGAAGCACUUGAUUUUUGCUUUCUUUUUGUUGUUGUUGAUUAAUUCUUUAUUGGGAUGUCUUUGAUGGAUUUUAGAAUGUUUUCGUGGUUUUUUUGCUGUGUUUUAGCUAUAAUGUGAGAAACCCAUUUUGUGUUUUGCUCUUAAUUUGAAGAAAUCAGUCUCUGCGACAGUGAGAUUAUUAUGGAUUUUCAAUUUAGAAAGCAACUUGAUUGAAUUAGAUAUGUAUAUCACCAAUGUUCACUACUUUAAUGAUUUACUUGUUGAAGUCACUGGCUUUUUGAGUUUAUGAUAAUUCUAAUCACUGUGUGGUUUACCACUGAAUUGCACGCCAUAACUGAAAUCAGUACAUUUUAAGGAACAUGAGUUCAAAGCAGUUUGUUUUGAUUUAUGAUGUAGCUUUAAAUUGUCUUCUGACUCAGCUCGGAAACUCUUUACUUUGAAUUAGCCUAUAAUUAAAAUUUUAAUUUCAUGUUGUUUUGCACAGCUACUUGUAAUUUAACUAGGAGGCAGAAUUAGACGUAACAUAUAGAAGCAUGGUUACUGCCCAGCAACAAAAGAGGAGAGUGGCAUUUAUCCUGAUUGAUGGAUUGGGUGAUGUAUCAUUGCCAAGGCUCGGAUACAAGACUCCUUUGCAAGCGGCGAACGUGCCUAACUUAGAUGCUAUUGCAUCUGCUGGAGUUAAUGGCCUUAUGGACCCUGUUGAAGUAGGCUUGGGUUGUGGAAGUGACACUGCUCACCUUUCUUUAUUAGGUUAUGACCCACAAGUGUACUACAAGGGUCGAGGAGCCUUUGAGUCCAUGGGUGCUGGAUUGGCAAUGUCUCCUGGCGAUAUUGCAUUCAAAGUGAGUAUACAUCUUUGCUUACUUCAACCACUUUUCAAGAUUUAUUUUAUUUUGGUCUUGCCCCUUGGAUGUGUACUACCUUGUUCUUGUAUUAAGCAUGUGGGAUGUUGUCGUAGUAAAUAGAAUUAUUAUAUUCCAUACUUAAAGAAUGAACUUUGUCAUUUACUCACGAACCUUUACUCACUACAUACACAACUGAACAAAGAAACUAUAUUUUUUAUACCCUAGAAACAGGGAUGGAAAGAUUUGUCUUUAUCAAGAGAAAUUGUACAUGAUUACAAUAUAUGUGCUUAGAUCUUGAAUUUAAUCCCAUGUGCUUCUUCCUUUUUUCUUGUGAUGCUUUUUUAACUCAGAGAAGAACAUUCUUGAAGUAUCUUGCCAUUGUUUUUUAUUUAUUAAUGGGAUUAUGCUCUCCACAUUAAAACUCUUCUGCCUGUCAGAGAGUGAGAACAUUUAAAACUUUUGUUACUCACUUUCAUGGCCUUAACGUGAAUCUCUUUCCCCCAAUAGACCCUUAUGUUUUACCUAUAUAUUAAUACAGAGGGUUGUGUGAACUUGGAGGGUAGAAAAAGCCCUGCAGUCUGUGAAGUAGACAAUUUUCCAGCUCUAACAUAGCUCAAUAGUUUUUUCCUUUCCAUCCCUUUCUAAUUUUUUUAUUCAUAUUUUAUGCUUCCAGUUACAUUUUUUGCGCACUACAUUUUAACAUUGGAGAAACUACAAUUUGUUGUUGUUGGUUUUCCCAUUUAAUGCCAUUUCUGUUUGCUUUUUAUCUGCAGUCAAAUUUUGCAACAUUAGAUGAGGAAACUGGAAUAGUCACCAGUAGAAGGGCUGACAGGCAUUUUGAUGAAGAAGGGCCAAUUCUCUGUGCAGCUCUGGAUGGAAUGAAAUUGCCGUCUUUCCCGGAAUAUGAAGUCAGAGUCAGGUGCAGAUUCUUUGUAUAUGCAGUAACUUCUUGACUAAUCAAGACAACAAGAAUGCACUCAAAUAAACUGGAUAUUCUAAAAAAUUUAACUGAACCCCUUCUUUUUUUUGCAGUCACCCUUCUUUAUCUGAAAUUUUAUUGACCUUCAAAUAAACUGACUAGACAAACUUGCUUAGACUAGGUUAUUCACAAACUCUUUGCAAGCUUCUUCACGUCAAUGAACAAUUUGAGUUAAUCUUGCUCUUGCUGGCUGCAAACAAGCUCAAAAAAUAAAACUCACAUACUGAUGUGAAGGAGCUCUUACCAAGUUUUUUUUUAGGUGUUUGAGAAUGGCUUAAUUCAAUUUGUUGCUUUAGAAAAUUGCAUCAACGAUCUGCUUGUUUAAAAGUUUGAUUGGAACCUUCAAGUUUCAAAUUUUCUUAUGUAUAUGCUAAUUACCCUUUUCUGUUAUUAUUGUCUGGUUAUUUGGGGGUGUUUGUUUCUUCUAUAUUGGUAACAUCUAAAUGACUUUAAGAUAAGGUUAAAGGAGAAAAAAAACAUGCCUAACUUAGCAAGUUCAACAUGGUAAUGUGCUUGGCCAGCUGUCUUUUUUCACUAUACCACUCCAAUUAUCCAGUAUAAACCCAUGUAAAUUCUCUGAAACCUAUAAUAUGAAAUAUUUUUUGCCUGUGGUUGAUGAAGUUCAAGGUUCUAACACAAGAUGGAAAUAUGACAAGAAACCACUUCCUACAGGUAUGCCACAGAACAUAGAUGUGGAGUGGUAGUGAAAGGACCAAGACUGAGUUGUAAUAUAUCAGGAACAGAUCCACUGAAGGACAACCGCUUACUUCUUCAAGCUGAAGCCUUAGAUGACACAGAUGAGGCAAGACAUACAGCUGCAGUUGUUAAUGAGUUAUCCAGGGAGUUAUCUCGUAUUCUGGUUUCUCACCCAUUAAACGCAAAACGAGCAGCAGAAGGAAAGAAUAUUGCUAAUGUUGUCCUUUUACGAGGAUGUGGCAUUCGAAUUGAGGUGCGUUGUCUCAAUCCUUCAAUGAAUCAUGGCCAUUUUUUCCAGAUAAGGCAGUGAGAAAUCUAGGAAACUAAAUCUCAAUUUCUUAUUCAUUUUAGUCAUCAGGAGAUGGGAAUUGCUUUAUCAAUUGAAAAUCCUCAUUGAUACUGUUCCCUUGAGGUUUACUUUUUAGAUGAACAAUAACUGAGCCAACAUGAGAAACUUCUAGAUUAUUCAAGUAUUGAUUUGGUCCUGGGCUUGGUUGGGUGGUCUGGCUUUUCGUUGUGAAUGUCUCAUUGUUUGGAUGAAAAAUUGUAUGGGAGGUAAAAUUUCACAUCUAGCAACACUAAACAUUACUGGUGGCAUGAGAGGGGCAGGACUGUUGCAUUCUGCUGCCAUGUCUGUGCAAUAAUUAAGGUUGCAACAAAAAAUUGAUGGAUUUUAAUGUUCUUAUUUGAAGAUUAUUGGGUAUAAAAGGAACAAAGAAUCUGAAAUUUUCAAUGAAGAGUUGUAUCAUAUGAGAUGUUUUAUAUAUAAUAUUUUUAUGCUGUACAGAUUUGAGUUUAUUUCUUAUUAUUAUUGUGCAGGUUCCUUCUUUUGAAAAUAAACAUGGUUUAUGGCCAUGCAUGGUAGCUCCCACUAAAAUCAUAGCUGGUUUAGGGCUAUCAUUAGAUAUUGAUAUCCUAGAAGCUCCUGGAGCAACUGGAGAUUAUCAAACACUUUUGACUUCCAAAGCAACAGCCAUAGCUAAGGCACUCUCAGCUCCAUUGGCGCCUUCUCCCAAUGUAUUUGUACCAGGGGAGGACGAGCACAAACCAGGACGACCAGAUGGCUAUGAUUUUGGGUUUCUCCACAUUAAGGUCUUAACCUUCUCAGUCUGUGUAUUAUCUUUAUCUUUUUGCCAUUUUCACAUCAACUGCACAAUUAAAACAAUGCUGCCUUUUGUAGCAGAAUGAGAUUUUUUAUUGUAUAGCCUCGUUCAUUCUUUUCUGUUCUUCAAUUAAAACUUUCAUAUUAAUCAUUGUUAGACAGAAAAUACUAUCAGGAGCUUGCUAGCAUUUUAGGCAGAAAUUGUAAAUUAUGAUGUCCAGUCCCUGACCAAGGACUUUCUUGGAGAUGGAUCCUUUCCAGGAUUCAAUGCCCCCAAAAACGAUCGAGACUGAUUGAGCUUAGACUGUAAGAGUUCAGGACAUAUUCAGCAUUUUGUUUGGAAAAAUAGCUCAUUUUAUUUCUUGACAAGGCUAAAUUGAUGGCUCUAAAAAUCAUUUUAUUGUUUGGAGGCUUCUUUUUUUCUCCCUAAUUGCUUCACCAGUUUAUUUUGUUCCCUUGUGACUUAUCUGGUCUAGAUAGAAAAUUGUUUGAAAGGUUGAAUGCCUGACCUCUAUGCUUAGAUUACAAGGUCUCAAUGUCUUAUUGGUGAUUGAUUUACUUGAUUUUUGGUAUUUCAGGCAAUAGAUGAUGCAGGCCAUGACAAGGCAAGCAUUUUGAAAGUUAAAGCAUUGGAAGCUGUGGAUCGAGCUAUAGGCCAGCUGGCCAAGCUCCUCUUGCAGGCAGAAUUAACUGGAAAGUUCCAGUACUUCCUUUGUGUCACUGGAGAUCACUCUACACCAGUUGAAUAUGGUGACCAUAGUUUUGAACCAGUUCCAUUUUCCAUGUGCCGGUUGAGAGAUUUUGUGGGUGCGGUAGGUGGAGAGUCUAUCAUCAUGGAAACUUCCCUUGAUCCAUUUCCUCUUCCAGUUGUUAAGGCUGGUGAAAACCUAGUGGAAACUGAGAACGCAGAAAAGGAGAGGAGCAGCAAACAGCUUAAAACUUUCAGUGGUGAUUCAGUUUGUGAACUUAGUGAGAUAGCCGCAGCAAGAGGAUGCCUUGGACGGUUUCCUGGGGGACAAAUGAUGGGUAUUAUCAAGGCAUUUCUUGAACUAAAUGCUUGAGCUGCUUCUCUACGAACUUCCAGCAGGCCUGGGGUUCUGAAUAAGGUGAUUUUUUGGCUGAAAAGUGAUGAAGAAAAAGCCACGAUCUGAUGUUUAAAAAUAAUUGAAAUUUGAAGGCUUCUGCUUUACAGAAAUAUGAACAAUCAGUUCAAACGUGCAAAAUUAACACAAACCAAAAGUACUACUGCUAUGAUCCUUCUCUCUUAGAUCCUCAGUUGCCCAUGGUCAGUCCCCGCUAGUGGUCACACAUAUUGUCCAGUUUUGCGCAAUCCAUAAUUUUGAAGACACCAACAUUCUUGUUUCCCUGCUCAUUAACUGAUGAGAUUUGCCUGACCCUUUACAAUUUUUUUUUGAUUCCAAAAGGCAAAAGCACUCGGUGAUUGUCUGUUGAAAACUUGAAUCAUGAUUUAUUUUCUGUGCUCAAGUCUAUCUCCUUGGCUAGUCAUUCAUUCCUGUCAAAUAUUGAAUUGACUGAGCUGCUUGUUUUUGUUGCUGCUGUAAAACCAUUUAUUUUCCCAAGGCUCACAUGUUUUAUGAUGUGGUUUUGCAGAUUUAAUAAAGCUGCUGGGAGCUGUACGAUUGAGAAGCAUACCAUUUCUGCAACAUUGACACGAGAGGGGUGUUUCGCAUUGUAAUUUACUAAUUUGAUUGGUCCUAAUAAAACAACGUGCGACAAGCAAAUGGUUUUUUCUUUCUCUGUUUUUGGGGAGGUCCAAAUCUUCGAUAUAUAAAAGAGCAGUCAUUUUCGCCAUCGCUCUUAAAACGUAGCAUCCACCAUUUUCUGUUUACAUACACCAUGCCAGAGUAAACACAGAAGAAGUGCUUGAGUAUGCAAUUUGCAAUACAUUCUGGGAUCUAUUCAAGCAAAGCUCUGAUACUGAUUACUUUUCUUGAAGUUUCAAGCUGGUGCUCGGAUGCAAUUAAUAUGCCCGGACGCUCCCAAUCCAGACAUAGGCAAACAGAGAGCUGGGGUUGGCCUGAUUCCUAUAAGCAACAGCAUCUCCAGAGCCUGUUGUUAGUUGCAUGCAUAUGGUUGAUGAGUGUGGAAUGUGGUAUAGUUGAAUUUAAUUUUCAUUUUUAGGUUGUAAUAGUUGACAAGGAUUCACUAGCGCCAUCUAUAUUGAAAACACAAUCUACUUUCAGGGAUGCUUUAGAGCGGAGUGAGAGUUAUAUCUAAAGGAUUUCAUGUUUUAUCUAAAGGAGAAGGUAAAACUAGCUUGAAAUGUAUGAUUUAAAUAUGAUUGAUUUUUUUUUUCAAGGUGAGUGUUUGAGCUAGCUUGUAUAUGCUUUGACUAAUUUUACGGACUUUAAAGUUAACAAUCAUGUAAGCUUCUAGUAGCUUUAAGAGUAUUCAAACUCGUAAUCAUUAAAAAGUAAAUUCAGAAUCUGAUUAGUUUAACUGUUCAUUAAUGUUAAUUCUUGUUUGUGCCUGAGAGGUGAUAUGAUUUAUCCAAUAACAUUGUUUUAAAUACAUGUUAUUUAUUUUUUAUUUAUGAUAUGACCAUAAAAAAAAGAUGAAAUUAGACUAACUGAUUAAGAAAAAAAACUUUUGGUAUUUGUGUUCAUAUUACUGGGAUAAUUUAUUAGAGUAGCUAACUGAAAGUAGCUAGUGGCAUUUAUGUUUAGAUAGCCAGUAUAAUUUAUUAGACUAGUUGAUUGAAAAGAGUUAUUGAUCAUAGUUAUUAAACCCGGACCGACUUUAAAAGUUGACCCGGGACACAGUGACUGUACCGAUCUAGGUAAGAUGAAAGACUGGUAAGAGCAAAAAAAUAAUCAAACCUGGUCAACUCGGGAAAACCUGAUAAAGAUUCAUUUUCUUUUAAAUGUGUUUUUUCUCCUAACCAGAGACCCUUUAUUUCAUUUAUUUUUGUUGGUUAUUAAUCAUUUUCAAAGUUCACCAUAUAAAUAUUGGAAGAAUGUUUAAUUUUUUCAAUGUGAAAUUUGAAACCCUUUAAUAUAUAUAUUCUAUUUUCACAAGAAAAAAAGUUAUGUUUUUUCAAUGUGGGAUAAAAAAUCUUUUUUGUUUAAAUACUUUAACUUAAAAUGAUAACAUAAUAUCUUUUCAAUGUGGAAUAAAAACCUUUUGAAAUAAUAUUUUAAACUUUAUUAUUUAAAAUAUGAAUAACUUAUAUUCAAAUGAUUUUUUUUUUAAUUUUUUUUUUGUAAUAUUAAAACUUCAAUAUAUAUUUUUUAAAAUUCUUCAAAUUGACCUGGAUCAGCCAGUGUAACCUAGGAGCCUAUCCUUUAACUGGGUUAACUUCUGGGUCAGAUUUAAUAACUAUGUUAUUGACAUUUUAGAUACCCAAGAUAAUUUAUUAGACUAACUGAGAUGAAAGAAUUAGUGAUAUCAAUAUGUUUAAUUACCAAGAUAUUAAAUCUAUUUUAAAUUUAAAAUAUAUGCAUGAAUUUUAUGUGAACUGAAAAUGAUAAAAUAAAAAUCCACUUCAAAUUUUUUCAAUGAUAAAUUUAUUUUCUUUUCAAUUCAAUAUAUUUAUAACUCCCUUGUUUUUUUUUUUUUUUUUUUUUUAUCCAAGCAUUACAUUUAGGUUUGGCUGACGUGCCCCACGGCUGCUUCUCCUUCCAGGAAAAUGUUCCUGUCUUCCCACGUUAGUCAAUCCAAAUUCAGUGCAUACACCACCAGAAAAAAGAAAAGAAAAAAGAAAAAAAAAAAAGAGAGGAAAAACGGUGCAGUUCAUAGCACUUCAACCAAACAAUACUUCAUUUCCAAUAUGAUCACGUGUAUUUAAUUAAUGCACAUUAAAUUAGGCGUCUACUCAUCUUGCAUGUGCCAAAAACUUGAAUAACAUAUUAGUAGUACUUGGUGUACUCAUCUUCCAAAGUCUAAGAUUGACCAACUUGGAAGUGAGAAAACACUAGCUGGAUAUGGCCAUUCAAGCAACAUUCAUAGCAGAUCCAGUUCUCAUUUCAAGCCCAUCAAGAAUCUCCAUCGGAGGUAAAAAUUCUUUUUUCAUCUUUCUUUUCUUGCGAUCUUCCUCUUCUUUUAUGAUCUUGUAGUUGUUGUGUUUGAGCUUCUAUGGAUAUUUGAUUUGAUACAGACCAAAUUUGCAGUUUCUUUAAUCAUGUGAAAACUUUUGAUUAAUGGGUUUUGUCCGCUGAAGAAUUUGGUAACCUGAAGUUAACUUGCCUGCAUCUUUCUUGAACUUGGAAAGUUCAAGAAAAUUGGUCAAUGAAGCUUUUAUCUAACUCAAAAACCACCACUCCACUGUGUCAUAUAUAGCAUAUAAACCACCACUGGUUGCGGCAAUAACUGUAGAUGUUUCCUGGCCAGAGGUGUUCAGAACAGUUUCCCUUAAUACUAUUCUGCGAAGGAUUAGGCAAAAGGCUCCUGCUACUGCAUAAGAUUGCAUAUGUGAAUUAGUAGUUACAGAAUUGUUCACUUUUCCAUUUCUGCAUCUUUUUAUUUGUCAAGGCUACUCAGACUGAAGCAGUUCUCCAUUACUUGCCAAAUACUCUCCUGUAUUGAUUUGUAGUGAACAGAUUUAUUCACAACAUGAAAUUCCUAACUAUUGAUUGCUCAAUAUGUUGUCAAUGACCUGUCUUCGUUUCUCUCGAAAGGUUGGGAGCAACGUAUUGGGUCUUUUGUGUUGAAAACGAGGCCUGGGCAUCUGAGGCUUUCAAAUGGAGGCAGAGUCAGAGCAAGAGCUUCUCUGAAUGCUGAUUUGAAAGCAGUUGGAAUUCCUCAUCAGUGGUACAAUGUUGUUGCAGAUCUUUCAGUGAAACCUCCUCCCCCACUGCAUCCUAAAACAUUUGAACCAGUCAAACCUGAAGAUUUAUCUGCUCUAUUUCCUGAUGAGUUGAUUAAGCAGGAGGCAAGCACUGACAAGUUCAUCGAUAUCCCGGAAGAAGUUCUUGAUAUUUACAGUCUCUGGCGCCCAACUCCAUUGAUCAGGUUUAUUCUGAUAUUACAAUCACAGACUAUGCGUUAAGGUGUUCUGUUCCUGGCCCCUGGUCGGAAGUAUCUUACAUGAUUUUUGUUGCAUUUAGAGCAAAGAGGUUGGAGAAGCUUCUCGAUACACCUGCCAGAAUUUACUACAAGUACGAGGGUGGCAGCCCAGCCGGAUCCCAUAAACCCAACACUGCAGUCCCACAAGUUUUUUACAAUGCACAGCAAGGCAUCAAGAAUGUUGUGACAGAAACUGGUGCUGGCCAAUGGGGAAGUUCAUUGGCCUUUGCGUGCAGCUUAUUUGGUCUUGACUGUGAGGUAGACAACGUUUAAGUUAUUCAUCAAUCUCAACAAGUAUUUUCAUGCACUGAAAUAGGUUGAAUCAAAUCGGGUUUACUCAUAGUUGGGUUAACUAAAGAGCUAUUGUAUAGUGAACUUCGCGACUUCAAUUCCUCAUUUCUAUAGCAAAGAAGACAGUGUAUUGCAUGGUCGUCAGUAAAAUGUUCUUCCUUUAACGAGGGGAUGGCUAGAUUAAAUCUAAUUAUAUAUGAAAGGGUCGUCUAGGAAAAGUAGCCACAGCCCUACUAUUUUAUUUUAGAGCUCACCUUCCUUGUGCCUAUCGAAGUUUUUGGUUUUGAACUACACUGAUCCUGCUCUUAAAUUUUGUUACUAUUCCUAACCUGAACCAUCGGCUUCUUCUUCUAAAUCCUUGUACAGGUGUGGCAGGUUCGCGCUUCUUAUGAUCAGAAACCAUAUCGUAGAUUAAUGAUGGAGACCUGGGGUGCAAAGGUACACCCAUCUCCAUCAAGCAUUACCGAGACUGGUAGGAGAAUUCUCCAGAUGGAUCCGUCAAGUCCAGGAAGUUUAGGAAUAGCUAUAUCAGAAGCUGUAGAGGUUGCAGCUAAAAAUGCUGACACCAAGUACUGCUUGGGGAGUGUUCUGAAUCAUGUUUUGUUGCAUCAGACAGUCAUAGGUGAGGAGUGCAUAAAACAAAUGGAGGCUAUUGGUGAAACCCCUGAUGUGAUAAUAGGAUGUACCGGUGGAGGGUCCAAUUUUGCAGGACUCAGUUUCCCAUUCAUCCGAGAGAAGCUCGACGGGAAAAUCAACCCUGUCAUAAAAGCUGUUGAACCUGCAGCAUGUCCUUCGCUGACAAAAGGUGUGUACGCAUAUGAUUAUGGAGAUACAGCAGGAAUGACUCCAUUAAUGAAGAUGCACACUCUAGGACAUGACUUCAUUCCUGACCCUAUUCAUGCUGGUAAUGUGAUGUUUCUAUCAAAGACUCAGAUAUGUUUAAAGUUCAUUUUCUUCUUCUUCUUCUUCUUCUGAUCCUAUAUUGCAAUACAUUUUCUACUCUGUAGGUGGAUUGCGUUACCAUGGCAUGGCUCCAUUAAUUUCCCAUGUGUAUGAACUGGGUUUCAUGGAAGCAAUGGCAAUCCCUCAGGUCGAGUGCUUUCGAGGUAACUGUCGUCCUUCUUAUGGACCAGCACCGAUACAAGUUCCAUUCAUGUUGAUUGCAGAGUUAUUAAUGAACUGAGAAAUCUACAGUCAGAUUGUAGAAGUGGAGAUCCAUCAUCCAUGCAUAAGUUGUCCUGGAGGCAAUAAGUAAAACGCAAAGCUUACAAUUCUAUUUCAAUGCAGGUGCCAUACAAUUUGCUCGGUCGGAAGGACUGAUACCAGCACCGGAGCCAACUCAUGCAAUCGCUGCUACCAUAAGGGAAGCACUGCACUGUAAAGAGACUGGAGAAGCAAAGGUUAUUCUCAUGGCAAUGUGUGGACAUGGCCAUUUUGACCUGAAAUCUUAUGAGAAGUAUUUGCAAGGAAAGAUGGUUGACUUGUCAUUCGAUGAGGAGAAAAUAAGAGCAUCAUUGGACAAAGUUCCUCAGGUGACAAGAACUUGAGCCAGUACAGGUGGUGCUAUGGAGGAUGGACAUUUUAGAUUAAGAGAAAAUCUUUCUUGUCAGGUGAACAAGAGAUUUUUUGCUAUUAGAUGCUUUUUAUUGAAAUUUAGUCGUUGCAAUUAGGCUUUCAAUAAAAAACAAGAUUUAGACAGCAGCAUUUGCCUUGGUCUGAAGCGGUGGUUCUCUCUUCUGCCACCACAAUAAUUUGUUUUCUUGUUAUAAAACGUCACUCUUUGUUAUAUCGAUUUCUUAAGUUUAUACGCUUUGAUUUUAUCUUUCUUUGUUAUAUUGAUUUUUUUUUCAAUUUUAUCAUUAAAAACUUCAUGAUUUGUUUUAUGGAGUGAUUCAUUCUCAUGAACUGGAUAACAAGUUUGAAAGGUUAACUCAAGUUAAUAUUAGUCUUUUUUUAAAAGUUUUUUUUUUUUACACUAAUCUUCUUGUCAAUUUGUCAUUUAAUGGUGGAUUUGUAGGAAGUUGAGCUUUAUGAUUUUUUUUUAUUUUUAUUUCUAUGAAAUUAUCUCACUUUCAUGAUAUAGGUUGUAGAUUUGACGGGUUAACCAGUAUUAACUUAAGACUUUUUUGGUUUUUUUAAAUUGAAUAUUUUUCUAAUUUUAUACUUUAAUAUUAAGUUAGAUCGAGAACUGAACUUCAUGAUUUUUCAUGAUUUUUCUUUUAUUAGGUAAUCUCGUUCGCAUAAUCUAGGGUUUGGUGGACUUACUCGGCUUUGUUGGUAUUUUUUUUUUGGGUUAUUUUUCUAAAUUGAUUUUUUUUCCUGAUUUUAUUUUUUUAUAUUGAACUUGUUGGGAAUUAGAUAUCAUAUUUUUUUUUAAUUUGCUUUUGAUGGAGUUAUAUCGACCUCGCGAUCCAGGAUGCAAGUUCAACAUGAUAACUUAGAAUGACUUGGAUUAUUUUUUUUUGUUUUAAUUUUUUUUUCAACAUUGAUUUGGGUAGGAAAUGAGCUACAUAAUUUUUUUGGUCAGUAUUUUUUUUGUAUAGGUUAUCAUGAUCAUUUUUUUUUAAUCCAAUCAAUUUAUUAUCGUUAUUUUUUUUAUCAUAUAAUUAAAUGAAAUUAGCUUAUUAGUUAGAUUUAUAACCUGAAACAUAUAUUUCUCUUAUGUAUUUAAAACACUCAACAAUCAUAUGUACACAUGCAAUAAUCAUAUGUGCAUUUUUUUUAACAUUAUAAUUUUUUUUUAGUUUUGUACCGUAUUAUAUCACAGGCCACCAAUAUAUAUAUACCCUCGAUCAUUGAUAUUUACCAUUGAGCUCAUGUUUAGAUCAUGAUUGAAUUUAAUAAGUUAAUUCAAAACUGGUUAUCUAGAAAUCAAAUUGGAUUGGAGUUUUAGUUGAAUCAUAUAAGUUGUUGACUUGGUUAAAUAUAAAUGAUUUAAUCAAAAUCUAAUUGUUCAAGUUGAUUCAAUUAAACUUAAUAAAGAUAAAGUGAAAAAGAAAGUAAGAAGAAUAAUUUUGACCUGGGGGAGAAAACCUAACCCCUUAUUUUAAACAAGUUUUGCAUCAUUUUACUUGAUAUAAAAAACAUUUUGCAAAUAAUAUUUAGCAAGAUACUAGUUUAUAGUUUGGUGUUAUGUUGCAAAUCAGAUUAAUUUUUUUUAAUAUAAAAAAAAUCAAGUUCGUAGAUAACUAUUUAAUAUUGUUAUUAAACAUGGUAUAGCAGACAACCCUAAAACCUUAUGAUCAGACUCUUUGUUUAUCUCGAAUUUAAAAUUAAACUGUAUGAGGAUUAUCCAAUAUGAUUUAGUCUACUUGGCCAAUUCAAAAGCUACUUGGUUGACCAAUAUAAAAAGUUUGAGGAUGAAGUUGAGAUAAAAAUGAUUUAAAUUGAUUGAAAAAACCUUUAUAAUCCAACUUUUUGUUUAGAUUAGAUUUAAAAUUAAAUUAUGAGGAAGUUAUUUUGAUGUGAUCUAGUCGAUUUAACUGGUCUAUAGGUAAUUGAUUAACCGAUAAAAAAAAUCCAAGGACGAUAUUGAGACAAAAUGGAUGAAAUUAAUAGGAAAAAACUUCUUGAUCUAGUUUCUUGCCUAACCCGAGUUUAAUUUUAAACUAUAUGAAAAUUGCAUCGACAUGACCCAAUCGAUUUGGUUUAUCCAAAGACAAUCUGAAUAACUGUUAAAAAGAGUUUGAAAAUGAAAUUGAAAGAGAGAGACAAAAAAAAAAAAAAACAAGACUCGAUUCCUUGUCAGUCGAUUCAAUCAACUUAAAGGCAACUUGAACUAAUAUUAAAAAACGUUUGAGGAAGAAAUUGAGAAAAGGAGAUGAAAAUAAAAAAGUAGGGAGAAUUGAAAAAUAAAAGACGCUAAAUUGAAAAGAAGGGGGGGGGGGUUGUUAUGAACCAGAAUUUUCUAAUAUAGUAGGGUCAUAAAUAAUUUGGUUUUGUAAAUUUAACCAGUAUCCUUUCUAAUCAAGAAUAUCCAUGAGCAUAUGUCAUAAAAAAUAUAUUUUCAAGAAAUUUUCUUAUAGGGUGGAAUAUUGUAAUAACUUAACCACGUGACCAAAAUAUCCUUUUUAUAUUUCGGAUUUUUUUUUUCAUUUGAAUAAUCAUAAGCAUUUUUCCUAUCUUCCAAGGCUCAACUUUUAUCACGAAGCCUAGCUUUUCAUAUUAUUAUUUAGAAUUGAUUUGUUUUUUUUUUUUAAAAAAAAAAUCAAAAGAUACACGCACACACAUAUACAUGCAUGCAUGCAUAAAAGUAAACCUCAAUUCAGUCCUGAUGAUAACCCAUUUUUAAUUUACGUCCCAUAACUUUUGAUAUUUAUCAAUUUCACUCAAAAUAGUAUUUAAUUAAUAUUAGACAUUUAAUGUCGGUUGCAUAUGAGGGUAAAUGGAUAAAAUUAAAAGAAUUGAAACUCAACUGAUACUUAGGGUAAUAAGCUAGAAGCGAGAACCCCUCGCACAAAACAAAUGUAGAAACGUCGUCGUAACUGCAAGUCCUGGUCCCUGGUUGUAAAUAUUGUAGCUGUGAUUGAUUAACGUGAGAGCUCCCCCCCCCUCCCCCCUCUCUCUUCUGUAUCAGCGUAUCGCUGGUGCUGUAUUUUUUUCUCAUCAUCCGUUAUCGCGCAAUUGCAGCCUCUCCUUUCAGGUAAUCCUCAGUAAUUUCACCGUCUUGUUCCAUUUAUCUUCUAUUUUCAUGUUCUUGUUUUUUUUUUUUUAUUAUUUCGUUUCAGUUUAUGUUUUAAUAAUAUAACACACCAGUAAAUUCUUUUUUAAAAAAAUAUUACUGGAUACUUAGCUCAAUUCCAUCGAAUUAAACAAAUGGGAUUUUGUUUUAACAUUUUUAUUUUUUUAUGGUAUUAAAUUUGAUGAUUAUAGAUUAUGAACUGGGAUUAAUUUUAAGAGGUGGGUUUUGCAGAUAAAUACAUUUUAUUCUUAAUCUUGAGGUCUUGAAUUGCAUGGGACUGUUAUUGCUUCUGUAUAAAAUGGGUACUGAUUGAAUUUGAAUAAAUAUGAUGUAACAUGGAAUUUAUGAUUCUAGGAGGAGGUUUUUUUUUGGUUUUGCUGUCACACGAAUUCUAUAUGUUGAGUUAUUCCAGCUUUUGAUGUGUUUUUAACCAUGAUGCUUGACCGUGAAUAGAAUUGAGGAACUGAUUUUAAAUGGAAAUUUUAUGAUUUCAUGGUACAUUGCUCUUCCUGUAAUUAUUUAAUGUUUUUGAGUGCAGUAUGUGGAGAAAGUAACUCUAGUGUUUCUUGGUAAUGCUGCUUUGAUUAUUUCCUAUGAUUUUAUCAGUAGGGUUUCUUGAUACAGGUCAGAGUUAGUUAAGUUAAAAUGGCGAGUAAAGGUCGAAUUCCACCUCCUCAUUUAAGGCGUCCUCUUCCAGGAUCUGGUAUGGUUCAUCCUGAUUCAUUUGGCUCAGGACUACGUCUGCCACAAGGCCCUUUUCCUCCUUUUGAGAUGUUGCCUCCCCCAGAAGUUAUGGAACAGAAGAUUGCUGCACAACAUGGAGAGAUGCAAAGACUUGCAACGGAGAACCAGAGACUUGCAGCAACUCAUGGAACCUUGAGACAAGAACUUGCUGCUGCUCAACAUGAGUUGCAGUUAUUACAUGCUCACAUUGGAGCUGUCAAGGCUGAAAGAGAGCAACAAAUGAGGGGACUUGUGGAUAAUAUAGGCAAAAUGGAAACUGAAUUGAAAGACGCAGAGCCUGUAAGGUUGGAAUUGCAGCAGGCACGGGUAGAGGCUGAGAAUUUGCUUGUAACGAGGCAGGAACUCGUGUCUAAAAUUCAUCAGUUGAGUCAGGAUCUUCACAGGGCCCAGGUAGAUGUGCAGCAGAUUCCUGCUCUGAUGUCAGAACUCGAGGGUCUCAGACAGGAAUAUCAACGAUGCAGGUAUUGGUUCUAUUUUAUCUUGUUGAUUCUUAAUUUACCUUGGUAAAAAUUAAUUUUAAAUGUUUGAAUAUUUGUCUCUAAAAAAUGCUCCAUUCUAAAGCAUUGUUACACCCAUGUCUGCUCUGCCAACUCAAUGGUUCCUUUAAUUGAUGGUGUGCACUUUUCCUGAGUAAUUUUACCCGCAAAUCAUUCUACUAGACUCAUUUUUCCCCAGUGUUACAGUUUUCAUUUCUAAGCUGAACAUGCUUGUGUGUUAACUGCUAUGAAUGAUUUGGUUUCGCUUAUGAAAAUUCCAUCAUCUUUUAUCGGGUUGACUGUGUAGGGUUUCAUAUGAUUACGAGAAGAAAUUAUUUCAUGACCACCUUGAGCAACUUCAGACAAUGGAGAAGAACUAUAUCACAAUGUCUAGGGAAUUGGAAAAGCUUAGAUCAGAAUUGACUAAAACAGCGAAUGUUGAUAUAAGAAAUGGUAAUCUUGUUGUUUCUUUUGCUCAUUUAGAGCUCCUUUUUUUUCUAGAUUUUAUUGCAUAUUAUACGAGGUUCAUUUUCUCUAUAUAGUUGCAGGAGGGCCUUAUGGUGGCCCUGCUGGUAACGAGAGUGAGGCAUCUGGGCAUCCGGCAGGAAAAAAUAUAUACGAAGAUGGCUAUGGCAUUCCGCAAAGCCAGGUGAGUCAAAUUCCACUUUGACGGUUGUCAUAGUUACUCUGUCUCGGUCUCUUUGAUACUCUAAUCCUAUCGGUUUUUAUUAUUAACAUGUAAUGUACUUACGGAGGGAUGGUGAACUAUACUAUAGAUAUGCAUUAGAAAAUGUAUUGUUGAUUCCUCUUUCUGUCUUCACUUGCCUUAUUAGUAAAGAUAGUUGAUGCAAUAAGGUUAAUUUCAAUGAGAUGAUUAUGCCUGAACAACAUUCUAACUUCUUGAUUUCAUUGCUCCAUCAUGACAUUAGGCUGGACAUUAAAAUUUCGUUUUCUUUUUUUUCCCUGGAAACUAAAUCUAGGGGUUAUUAGGUUAUCAUCAUUGUCAUCAUCAUCAUCAUCAUCAUCAUUAUUGUGGUUGUGGUUGUUGUGCUUGCAUGUCAAAUGAGUAUUGCUGAAUUGUGAAUGGCUUAUCAGUGGGUUCUUCUUUGGUAAAUUAUUUAGAAUCCCUUAAUUGUAAGAAUUGGCAUGGGUUCUUUAUACAUUUAAAGACAGUUUAAAAUGUAUGCAAGUUUUCUGGUGGAUGCAAAAAAUCCUUGACAUGCAUGUUAGUGAACUGGUGCUGUAUAUUUCUUGGCAAGUAUGCAAGUUGCAUUUUCAUCUUACAUUGAGAUUUGGAAUAAAUUAUAUGGUUAUGUGCGAAGCUUCAGAAACGUGAGGGAAUGAUACCAAACUAGAGAAACACGUGUAAACUGCUUCUGCAAUGAUGAUAAAACAUGGAGGUGGUUUCUGGAUGUCAGGAACUUGAUUGCUUCUGAAAUUGAAUUUAUCAAAAGGAAAGAAACAAUACAGCAAAACAAAAAUAGGCAACUAUUCCUGAGAGAAUAUCUUGAUAUUCUCUCGACUGUUUCUUUGAAGAUUUUCCUAGGUAUUUGAGGCAAAGUAAUUAUCUCAAGUAUGAAUGAGUAAGAGCUUAUAACUAGAAACAAGGCAGAUAUUUGGUGAUCAUAAAAAUCAAAAACUGGUUUCCAAAGUGUUCUUUCUGGUGUGACUCAUUUUAAGUUCUGGCCAAAUAUAAUUGUAAAUGAAGUUAUGAUUGUAAUUGGAGUUAUGGUAUCAGAUGGCUAAUUUUCUUUGGUUACUGCUACUUCAGACUUGCCUGCCAAAGAGUCGAGGUUGUUAUAAUUCAGACCCUCUAGUAGUCUCUUUCAGGUCAUCUAUAUAGCGAAGUUGGUAAUGUAGCUAAUGUUUGCAGAUGGCUAUUAUACGGUAGGAAUUAGUUGGUACAAAAUUGGCUCCGGAGUGGUUCCCAAUUAAAGCCUGUUUUUGGGACAGAUGGAAAAUAAACAAUUUGAUAGUGGUGACAUUUUGAAGAAAUAUAACUGCUUGUCAUAAGUGAAUUGUAAACUUACAAUCUGUUAACCAAAAGCAUGCCUGAAGAAACCAAAAUACAUUUUGGGGCACGCAUAAUGCUUGCUAUAUUUAACUAUGUUUGCAACACAGAUUUUGCCAUGUAAAAUCAACACAAAAGGCUGUUGAUGGGCAAAACUAACCAUAUGCUAUUACAAGGCUCAAACAAUUGGUCAGGGCCAGCUCUGUUGGGCAUGGGAGUCUUCAUUGCUGUUGUCUUUGUUGUUUCCUUUGAUGGCUCAAUUUUCUGUCAGCUUCUGGAAAUAAAAAUGAAUUGAUAGAAUUGUGGUUUAUGUAACAGGGACAUCCUGCUCUCCAUAACUCUGGUGCUGCAAAUAUUGGUGCUGUUGGUAAUGCUGGUGCUGGUACUGCGACUCCUUAUGCUGGGGCUCAAUCUGGUGUUGCGCCCUCAAAACCUGGUUAUGAGGCACCAAGAGGCCCUGCCUAUGAACCACCAAAAGUACCUGUUUAUGAUGCAUCAAGAUUGCCUGGCUAUGAUAUGCAAAGGGGACAUGGAUAUGAUGCUCAGAGAGGGCCUGGAUAUGAUGCUCAGAGAGUACCUGGUUAUGAUCCACAGAGACUUGCUGUUUAUGACAUUCAGAGAGGACAUGCAUAUGAUGCGCAAAGAGGACAAGGUUAUGAUGCACAGAGACUGCCUAAUUAUCAUGCAUCCAGGGGUGCUGGCUAUGAUGCAGCAGCAUCCAGGGGUGCCGCAGGGCCACAAGGGCAUGUGGCACCACCCGCAAACAAUAUGCCAUACGGGUCUGCAACUCCACCAACUCAUUCUGGAAGUGGGUACGAAGCACCAGCUAGAGGUGUCGCCGGGCCGCAUGGGCAAGUGGCAGCUGGAAACAACAUGCCUUAUGGGUCUGCAACACCACCAACUCGUUCUGGUAGUGUGUAUGACGCAUCGGCUAGAGCUCCAAACCCUGCCAGGAGAUGAGCUUAAGAGAAUGUACUUGCAGUGAAAUAGUAGCUAACAUCCCUCCUUUCUCAAACCCUCUCUCUUAUCUUUCUCCCUGUUUUUUGGUUUAUAAGCCUGGCUAUUGUUUUACGGUGCACUAUCCAGUAGAAAUUCUGCAUUGGUCGAGCAGCUACGCUCUCUCCCUGUCUUGUUUCUCAAGGUUCACUAAUUUCCCAAUAGUUCUCAUAUGUUGAUCCCUUGCUUUGAAGGGUUAUAUUGCAACAAUGUAUUACAAUCUUUGAGCAAUUCUAGAUCUGCACAUUUCGCUUCUAUUUGCGGUGUCUAGUGUGAUGGUUAGGGGAGAUUUUCCCUGGCAGUUUGCUGAUAGAUGCCCCUCAUUAAUUCAGGUGUAGUAUGAGUAUGAAUUUCUUUCUUUUCUCUUGGAACUGGAGUUUUUUUUUUGUUUUUUUUAGAGCAACCAUUGUUAAUUUGAUGCCUGAAUGAAUUGCUGUACUUAACAAAUCUAAGUGCCCCGGAUUAAUGAAAGUGAGGAUCAUUUCUAUAAUGUAGCUAUCCAUAAACUACAUAAAAAUAAUUACAUCAAUUCUUUGUAGUUUUAUGCAAGGAUGAGGAAUAAAUUUAUCUCAAUGUAGUUUGUAGAAUUUCUCGCAAAUUUAUUAUUAUUAUAAUUAUUAUUAUUAUUUACAAUCUAACUUGUGCUAUUAACAAAAUCUUAUUGGUCUUGGAAAAUUAAUGUAGCUUCACACCCAUUGACUUUAUUUAUUGAAACAAUGUAAUAAUUUUGCUUUUCUACCUGAAAACAUUAAAAACAUCUGUACAGGCUUCCAAGGUUAUAGAAAAUUUUUUACGUAGUUUAUUUGUCAUUUUUAAUUUAACUAAGAAUAAAUAAGUAUUUUUUUCAUCUUAAUUAUAUAAUAAAAUGAUUAGAAUACCAUUGGAAGCUAAAAAAGAAGUUAAACUUGAUGUUAAAGGAUAUUUUUGUAUUUUCCAACACCGGGAGGGUUUGUGCGAAUACCAAACUUAUGAUAUAGUUCACAUACGUCUAUGGUUGAAUAACAAUAGAGUAUUGUUUACUUUGUUACUUUUUAGUUAAAAUAUUUAGCACAUUCAAAUUAAUAGAUUUUAUUUAGGUUUAUUAUUGAGCUUAAUUUAUAUUAUUUUGUUGGAUAUUUUAUUUAGUAGACUAUAAGCUUUGGUUGUGAUGAGGCUUUUGGUAUUUAUAUGUAAUUUUCAUAUUAUGGAGAGUUUUGAUGAAUUAAUAAAAAUUUAAGUUUUUUCUUUCUUUCUUUUCUUUUCUCUUCUCCUUCUCUUUCAUCAUUUUCCUAAUGUUUUCGUCCUCUUCCUCCUUUCUUUUCCUCCUCUUUCUUUUCUUUAUAUCAUAUUAUUUUGCAUCAUCAUAUAACUUGUAUGAGUCUUUUAUACAUUUACAAAAGAAUGUUGAGUUGUUAUUGUAGGAUUUAUAUUACUAAUAGCCAAAAAAAUAAAAUAUUAUCCAUUAAUUUUUUUAAUAUUGAGUCCUCAGGUUAAGCGCAUGAACCUAGUCUAUUAUGGGUGGGCUAGGCAUUGUAUCUUUAUUUUUUUUACCUUCUGAAAUUUUUUUACUAGAUUUAUUUACUUUUUAAUUUUGAUAUGAUUCUUACAUAUUAUUAUAAUCUUUUUUAAAUUUUAAUAAUUUUAUUUUUCAAUUAAUAUGUAUCUAAUUUGAAAAUACUAAUACUAAUAAUAAAUUAUUCAUGAAAACUCGAUUGAAAUCAAUUUUUUUAUUAAAAUAUUUUAAUAAUUUUUGAACAUAUAAUUUAUAACAUUUAUGAUUUUUUUAACUUUCUAAUACAUAAAUUAUACAUAUACUAUUUUGAUAUUUUUUAUUAACUUAUUUAACAAUCAUAAAAUAUAUUUUUUAACAGAAACACUUACUCUAAUUAAAAUCAUUGCAUUGACUAAGAUAAACAAAACAUAAUGAAUAUAAAAUUUUCUUUCUAAAUUAGUGGAAAGUGAAAAUCAACUAACUUUUUGAAGAUAAAUAAUGAAUAAUAUAAUCCUUUAAUCGCACGACUAUCUUUUUUUUCCCUUUUUUUUUUUUCUUGUCAUUCAUAUUGAAAAGGGCAAGUCAUCAGUGCUCUUUUUCGCUGCUUUAGCUCUUCACUGCUGCUUUAUAUCCCAUUAUUCAUCAUUCCUUGGAGUAACCUCACACUGAAAAUUAAAUAUCGUCAGCACCUAAUCUUUAAGUACAGCUUUAUCAUCUCUAUAGCUUUAUUACGUGGACAGAAUUAACUUUUGAUUCAAGCAGCUAGCGAUAAUCUGGUUAAAAAAUCACCAUUUUAACUCAAUAAUUUUAGUUAUUAGAUAAAAUUUUAAGAUAUAAUUUAUAUUAUUUUCUAACAUAUCUUUUUAAAUAAAAACCUUUUAAACUUGAAACUUGUAUAAACCCAUAUUAUUUUAUACUUAAUUUUUAUUAAAUAAAUUAAAAUAAUAAAAUUCGAACUUGUAAAUAAUUGAUCAUUAAAAUUCUGAUAUCAUAUUAAAAAUUCAACUCAAUCUAAUAAAUUAAAUUGUGAAAUAAAAUUUUUUAAUUUGUAUUACUUUUUAAUUAUCUUUUAUUUAAACAAAAAGUAUUUGGAUGGCUGCAGUGUCAGGGCCCCAGUUGUGAGAGAAGGAUAGUAUGCAAUGAUGAUCAGAUCUGUACGUAGCUGUUUAUAUCAGAGGCUGGUAAAUUUUAGGGAAAACACAUGAAGCAUAUUAACUAGCUCGAAGAUAUAUAAUCUCUAGCCAUAAAACUAAAAAAGAAGAAGAGGGUUUUUCUUUUUUGAAGUAAUUUGACCAAAUUAAGUGAAUCGCUUUAAUGAGGAAACACGUGAAGCAUAUUCUUUUAGUUAUUAAUGGCUUCCGAAAGUUCUUCAUGACUGAGAAAAGAAGUCUUUAAAGUCCAGAUCAUGUGAUACAUAUGCAACUCAAACUAGACCACCCAUGAUCACUUCCCAAAGGUUUGUGAUCCACGUCCAAGGAGGAAUCCACACCAUAUGUUGUUGAUAAUGUCCAAGGCCCUGAGUUGCAUACACCAGGAGCUCUUGAGAUAGCGAAUCCAUGGAUUACUGCUUGCAUACACGAUAUGUUCUUGGCACAUUCAUAUAUGUGCUUAGUAUAAUUUCAAUAUCAGGGUAUAUUUGUAUUCGUUUCCAUGCAGCCAUUCUAACAAAAAAUAAUUUUAAACGGGUGGAUUAUACAUGUUAUCACUGCUAUAUAUCCUCUACUUGGAUUCAAAUCUAAAAUGAUCAUGUGAAAACUAAAUUCGACUGAUCCCUUGCAUUCAACAAAGAGUUAUGCCACAAUAAACGUCAGCUGUUUUAAUUGAUUAAGUUAUUUGUUAUGGUAAAAAAUGUUGUAAAUUGCAAUUAUGCUCAAGAUUACAAGGAUCGGGGGGGAAUGGAGCUGUGCUAUUGUAUCAUCCAUGACAGAGCUUAGCCAUGGAGGAACAGAAGACAAGACGAGAUUAAUAAUUAAAAGAGAAAGGACAUGUGAAUAUUAUCUUCAAUAUAUACUCAAGAACAGUACAGAUCAGAAAGCAUAAGUCUUGGUCUUUGGAGAAUCAGCGAUCUUCAAUGUCUCUUCAACGAGCUUCCUGGCCUUCCUGCUUCUGAUUUCAACUCUCAUGCUCUCACUCUUCUCAAUCUUAUCAUAAGGUUUCUUCAUCUUCAAGAGCCUCAUUCUGGAUUUCAAGAACACCAUCAACCUCUCUACUCCCAUCAUCACCAUGGCUAGCUCUAGCUAUUUAAAAUUACCUGCUAUUCAAGUAAUCAAUGAUUUUAACCGCUUUUAAACAAACACAGAGAUGAAAAAGGGAAGAGAAGCUAAAGAGUACCUACCUUCCUUGAGCAAUUACUUGCAAGAAGACAAAACUUUAGCUGGGAAAAUUAAGAAAUUAGCAAGAUUGUUUUCUUAUUAUCAGAGGACUAAAAUCAAGGAGUGAAUGGUAACCAGGGAGAGCAGAGGAGAGAAGAAGAAGAAGAGGAAGGGAACAAGUGAGAGAGAUGAAAUGAGUGAAUGUAUAACUGUAGAGUCAGACAAACAAUAUUUAUAGUUUUUUAUGUUUUAAUCGUUUUGAUAUGAUAAUGUAUUAAAAAUAAAUUUAAAAAAAUAAAAAAAAUAUCAUUUCGAUUUAUUUUUUUAAAAUAAAUUCACUACUGUGACGGAUUCCUACUGCAGAAAACAUUAAAUUAAAUUAAAUACCCUGGUCAGGAAUUAAUGGGGGUGUGUGUGUGGUCCUAAUAAUUAGAAAUCAGUAUGACUGAGGGGCUGCCAAAAUAAAUUCCUGGCGUGUACGAAAGUACUGCAAUAUUGAAUUUCAAGUUUCAGAGAGGAGAAAGGUCAAAUUAGUUGUUAAUGGAGGGAGGCAUGACAUUAGCAACUCAUUCUUUACACUUUAAGUAGCUUAAGAAAUUUGAGUGAUAAAAUUAUUUAAGAUAUGAUGUUUGCAAAAUGAUAUGGGGAAAAAAAUAUUAUUUUUGUAUUCUUACAUUUAAUCUAUUUAUACGAUUCAUUCAUUUUGUUCAUAUUUUAUUCUUUUUAAUGUUUUUUUUUACAACUUUUGUUUGGAAAAAUUUAUCCCACACGGAUUAAGAAAAUGAUAUUUUACUGUAACAAUCCUAACAUUAUUUUAUUUUUUUAUUACGAUAAAAAUAAAUUUAAAAUUUUAUAUAUUUUUAUUAAUAUAUAUGAUAUUUAUUAUAUUUUAAUAUAUGCAAGCUUUUAUGGUUAUAUUUUUUACUUGAAAUAAAAAAUGUAUUAAUAAUAUUUAUAUAUUAAUUUUUUUGUAUUGAAUAAAGAUACUAAUACUUUAUAUUUUAUAUUUAUUAACACAAAUAGUUUUCGUAGAGUUCUUUAUUUAUAAUUAGAAGUAAAAAAAAUUACAUAUUUAAUUUUUUAUUUCAAGAAAACUUAAACGACCCGCAGCAAAACCCAAAGCAUGUAACUAGUGCACUUUUUUAUUGUGCAGAGCAGUUGAGUUUUGUUUUUUUUUUUUUUUUUUUUGGUUUUUAAACCUCGAGAACUUUUUAAUCAAUUGACUCCUUGCAAGUUGCAACACGAGACAACAUCUUGUAUGGACAUGAACGUAGCAUAUGCACUCCUUGUGUUUUAUUCCCUUGUCUCCUUCUACAAUAAAUGAAGAUUCUAACCACCGUCGAUUUUCUUAAACCACCGUGGAUUUUCUUAAAUCACCACCUCUGUUUCGCGACCCUCUUGCGCUGCCAUGUACCAUUUUAUGUGGACACUCUCCUCUCUAGAAUAUGCAGAGGGAGGUGAGAAUGGACUUUACUUUUUCAAAAUAAAUAAACAAAUGAUUCUUAAACACACGAUGUGUCCACCUUCAAGUCUUGACUUCAUGUCCAAAUAAGUGCCGCAACAUGACCAACUUUCCAUGUUUUGUCUCGUCUGAAUAUUCCUAGCCUGCCUUCCUCUUUACAUUCUCUCCUGCUAAUAUUAAUAUUGAAAGGGCACGUCGGAAGGGAUAAGGACCUUUUUUAUGCUUUAUAUUCCAUUAUCAUUCAUCACUUCUUAUCACCUUGGACUGGAGAACUCUUUCAAACAUGGAUUUGUCGUCUUUGUUAGCUUUAUAACGUGGAUUAACUUAAUGAUGAUCCAUAAUAUAUAUGAACAUAUAGUAUAGUUAAGGUGUGCCCUUUUAUUAUUUUCACAUAUUUCACCUCUUCUCCUCCUCAUUUUACAAGAAAGACCAUAAGUUUAUGGAUUCCAAUUAAUUCAAUCAAAUCGAGUUGGUUCAUUAAAGGAUAAAAUUUUUACAACGAUGACGUAUUUUAUUUAUAAAACUUUAAUUCUAAACUUUACUUAAAAUAAUUAAAAAUUGAAUCGUUUGAACCAACCAAUAUCAUUAAUAUCAUAAAUAUUCUUAUUAUGAAUAUUAUAUUAUUAUUAUUUUUUGCUACUUCUGCUUUUGUGUGGCAAAAUACAAAAUCAAGUUGUUUGAUUAUAUUAUAAAUAUAAGUUUAUGUUUGUGAAAUCCAUUAUAUUUGUGUUCAACCUAAAAAGCAACAUCAAGCUGCUUUUUAGUGGGUUGCAAACUCAGUCUUUUAUCCUCCACUAACUACUCUCUCACACAAAAAACUAUUGUUUUGUACUUGAGGUCUUGACCUAGUGGUGGAAGGGACUUGUUCCUUUCCACCCUACCAGGGUUCAAACCUCCAUGUGCACGCCUAUCACCCUCGUGGUGCCUUACAUGCUUACUGGAUUUGCAACAUAGUUUUAAGACCCGGCCCGGUGGUCGACCCGGUCCAAGGCCCAGGUUCCGGGUUUUGACCAAGUCACCGGGUCUCGAUCGGGUCGUCGGGUCUGGCCGAGCCAAUUCCCAAGCGGGUUUUGGCCUUCGCCCGGACCAGUCCCAUGCCCGGGUCGACCCGCCGGGCCGGUCCGGGUUUUAAAACUAUGGUUUGCAGGAUGUUCAGUGAACCGUGGGAUUAGUCGUGGUGCGCGCAAGCUGGCCCGGACACCCACGUAAAUAAUAAAAAAAAAAAAACUGUUGUUUUGAAACUUCUCAAAAUACCCGUUCAUUUUUUUUUUUUUUUUUUUUAAUAGUAAUCGAGAAAAAUACCCGUUCAUCUUCCCCAUCCUCUUCACCUUCACCAGCGUCUUGACGUUGUCUUGCUUCUGUCCUCUUCUCAUCUUUCUUCCCCCAAAUAUUAUCGCAGACCUUCCCAUUCCACAUUAAUUGAGAUAUUGACUUCAUAUCCAGGGAAAAUAUAUAAAAAUAAGUAUAGUUAAAAUGGACCUCUUGUAUUAUUUUCACAUAUUUAACCUCUUCUCCUAGUUUAAAAGAGAGACGAAAAUCAUUGUUCAUUUGAAAUUUUCUCAUUAAAUCAUGUAUAUGACUCACACAUGUUGAAUUGUUGAUGGAUUUUACUUAUAUUACGCCAUCACGAGCUAGCAGUACUGGCCCAAGGAUUAAUUAUGCAGCUUUUAGGAAUUAGUUAGUUUAUUAUUGAUAAGCAAACAGUGGAAAAUUAAGCAUAUUCUACUCCUUAGUUAACAAAUACCUAUAUGAGGAUUCUGUCACGGAUGAUGAUCUAUUACUUUAAAGCAAGCUGCUCUACAUUGAAAGAGAACAAAAGACUUUAUUUAUUUAUGAUGAGCAAACAGUGGAGGCAUAUUCUACUUCUUAUAAUUAGUUGCCUUAACAAAUACCUAUAGGAGGAUCCUCUCACGGAUGAUGAUCUUUUACUCUAAAUUAAUUAAGCAAAUUUUCGUUGCCCUACAAUGAAAGAGAAUAAGUCUUCAAACCUUGUGAUAUAGCCUGCAAGAAGAUGAUCCUUGAGCGUCAAUCUAUCUUAUUUUGGAGUAUCCCUCCGGGAGGAAUUCACACAAUAUGUUCUCAGUUGUGAUAAUAUUUUUGAGCUUGUUUGUAUCAUAUCCUUGAGCUCUUUGAUAUUCAUGGUCAUCGUGAAAAUCCAUGGACCAUGUUCGUGACAUAUUUUGGCUGCAAAUCCAAGUCAUGCUGGGCAUCAGAAGGGUUUAUUAUUAUUAUUAUUAUUAUUAUUAUUAUAUAUGGUAUGAACUAGCCAUGGAGAUGAAGAAGAAAAUAAGAGGAACGAAUGCCCCCAACAAAUUUAAAGACAACCUUCUUGUAUUAUCUGCUAUAAUUAAAACAUGCUUAAUCAAGAAGGAAAUGAAAGAAACAUGAAAACAUGACACAACUACGAUCUGUCUGCCCUCUAAUUACUUGCGGGAUCUGGGAUGAUCAUGAUCAAGAACAGUGCUGAUCACAAAGCAUAAGUUUUUUUCCCUGGUGAAUCUGCAAUUUUUAAGGUCUCUUCAAUGAGCUUCUUGGCCUUUCUGCUUCUUAUCUCAACUCUCAUGCUAUCACUCUUCUCAAUCUUAUCAUAAGGUUUCUUCAUCUUCAAACUUCUUAUUUUCGAUUUCAAGUUCGUCACCAAGCUCCCCAGCCCCAUCGUCAUCAUGGCCACCACCUUGCUAUAAAACUCCUGUUAGCCACCAAAAAAACAACUGUCAGCACCUUUUAGAAAACACAAAAGGCCAUAAAAAAGAAGAUCAAGAAAAGAGAAGAAAGAGUGCCUUGAGGAACUGUUACUUGCAAGAAGAUAACUUGUAGACGAGCAAGGAAAGGAGAGCGAGAGACUGUAUAAUCUAUGGCACUAACACGAGGUUGGAGAGAGAAGGGGUGAAGAUAUGGUGGCGCACACUGAAAAUGAAGAGGAGAAGUGGAGGGGUUGGGGAGAUGAAAUGAAUGAAUGCAAGUGACUGUGAGAGGUCACAAUGUAAGCAUUAAGAGCUUGGAAG
RNAcentral lists this long non-coding RNA (84435 nucleotides) under Populus tremula. RNAcentral's name for it is "long non-coding RNA (PTRE_LNC001332)". Lineage: Eukaryota; Viridiplantae; Streptophyta; Magnoliopsida; Malpighiales; Salicaceae. The record is from RNAcentral.